RNAcentral lists this long non-coding RNA (57262 nucleotides) under Hordeum vulgare. RNAcentral describes it as "long non-coding RNA (HVUL_LNC013374)". Lineage: Eukaryota; Viridiplantae; Streptophyta; Magnoliopsida; Poales; Poaceae. The record is from RNAcentral.
GUGGGAGGAGUCCCCCUUCCUUCCCACCUCCUUCCUUUUUUUUCUUUCCUCUUGAUUUUUCUUCUCUUGGUGCAUUGGGCACUUGUGGGCUGUCCCACCAGCCCACUACGGGCUGGUGUGGUGCCCCCCAGCCCACUAAGGGCUGGUGUGGCCCCCCAAAUUCCUAUGGGCUUCCCCGGGGUGAGUUGCCCCCCCCCCCGGUGAACUCCCGGAACCCAUUCGUCAUUCCCGGUACAUUCCCGGUAACUCCGAAAACCUUCCGGUAAUCAAAUGAGGUCAUCCUAUAUAUCAAUCUUCGUUUCCGGACCAUUCCGNNNNNNNNNNNNNNNNNNNNNNNNNNNNNNNNNNNNNNNNNNNNNNNNNNNNNNNNNNNNNNNNNNNNNNNNNNNNNNNNNNNNNNNNNNNNNNNNNNNNGUGUGGGCGGCGUGCGUCCGGGGGGGGGGGGGGGGGGGCAACCCACCCCGGGGAAGCCCAUAGGCCUUGGGGGUGGCGCACCAGCCCUUAGUGGGCUGGUGGGACAGCCCAAGAUGGCCCUAUGCGCCAUAGGAAGAAAAUCAAAGAGAAAAAAAAAGAGGAGGUGGGAAAAGGGGGAAGGACUCCUCCUUCCAAACCUAGUUGGACUCGGUUUGGAAGGGGAGGGUUCCCCCCUUUGGCUCGGCCGAACCCCUGGACUUCCCCCCUUUGGCUCGGCCGAUCCCCUUGGGGCUCCUUGAGCCUCAAGGCAAGGCCCCCCCUCUCCCACCUAUAUAUACGGAGGUUUUAGGGCUGAUUUGAGACAACUUUGCCACGGCAGCCCGACCACAUAUCUCCACGGUUUUACCUCUAGAUCGCGUUUCUGCGGAGCUCGGGCGGAGCCCUGCUGAGAUAAGAUCAUCACCAACCUCCGGAGCGCCGUCACGCUGCCGGAGAGCUCAUCUACCGCUCCGUCUCUCUUGCUGGAUCAAGAAGGCCGAGAUCAUCGUCGAGAUGUACGUGUGCUGAACGCGGAGGUGCCGUCCGUUCGGCACUAGAUCGGAGUGGAUCGUGGGACGGAUCGCGGGACGGUUCGUGGGACGGUUCGCGGGGCGGAUCGAGGGACGUGAGGACGUGCCACUACAUCAACCGCGUUUCUUAACGCUUCUGCUGUGCGAUCUACAAGGGUACGUAGAUCGGAAAUCCCCUCUCGUAGAUGGACAUCACCAUGAUAGGACUUUGUGCGCGUAGGAAAUUUUUUGUUUCCCAUGCGAAUGCGACGUUCCCCAACAACUUAUGAUUUGCAUGUGAUGUUAAUCCUUUUAUGUAUCUUAUUUUGCUUAGGACGAUGGUAGCAUUAUAAGGUGAUGCCUCACUAAAAUUUCAAGAUAAAAUUGUGUUCUUCCCGAGUGUGCACCGUUGCGAAAGUUCGUCGUUUCGAAGCACCACGUGAUGUCGAGUGCGAUAGACUCUACGUUUGCAUACAACAGGUGCAAGCCAGUUUUGCACAUGUGGAACACUCGGGUUAAACUUGACGAGCCUAGCAUGUACAUACAUGGCCUCGGAACACAAGAAACCGAAAGGUCGAAUAUGAGUCAUAUAGUAGAUAUGAUCAACAUGGAGAUGUUCACCAUUGAAACCACCUCAUCUCACGUAGAUAUGAUCAACCGCGUUCACUAACGCUUCUGCUGUGCGGUCUACAAGGGUACGUAGAUCGAAUAUCCCCUCUCGUAGAUGGACAUCACCAUGAUAGGUCUUCGUGCCCGUAGGAAAAUUUUUGUUUCCCAUGCGACGUUCCCCAACAGUGGCAUCAUGAGCUAGGUUCAUGCGUAGUUGUCUUCUCGAGUAGAACACAAAAGUUUUUGUGGGCGGUGAUGUGCGUUUUUUUGCCCUCCUUAGUCUUUUCUUGAUUCCGCGGUAUUGUUGGAUUGAAGCGGCUUGGACCGACAUUACUCGUACGCUUACGAGAGACUGGUUUCAUUGCUAUGAGUAACCCCGUUGCUCAAAGAUGAUUGGCAAGUGUCAGUUUCUCCAACUUUAGUUGAAUCGGAUUUGACCGAGGAGGUCCUUGUAUAAGGUUAAAUAGCAAUUCAUAUAUCUCUGUUGUGGUGUUUGCGUAAGUAAGAUGCGAUCCUACUAGAUACCCAUNNNNNNNNNNNNNNNNNNNNNNNNNNNNNNNNNNNNNNNNNNNNNNNNNNNNNNNNNNNNNNNNNNNNNNNNNNNNNNNNNNNNNNNNNNNNNNNNNNNNUAUAAUAAUAACUAAUUUAUUAUUGCCUCUAGGGCAUAUUUCCAACAUGCUCCUCCCAAGAUCAAUAUGGAUGAAACUUUGAAAGCUAUGCGUGUUUCCAUGAAUGAGAGUAGACAAAGAACCGCCCAAAUUCGUGCUAGACAUGAAUGGCUUGAAAAGGCGUGUUCUUGUGAUGAGAAUCACGAAGAUCUUAAAGUGCUUGGUGUGACUCCCAUUGAAUCCUUGUUUUCUAGUGUCAAAACUCAAACCUAAUUAUGAUGGGGCUGGAUAUGAAUCCACCUUGGUUGAAAAACGCCCCAAUGAUUCGGAGUCUAUCUAUCUUGAUGCUAAAAGCAUUGAAAGUGGAGUAGAGGAUAUCAAAACUUUGAGUAGUAAUGAAACUACUACUUUGGAUUUCAAGGAAAUCAAUUACUAUAGUUACUCUUUGAUUGAAUGUAUUUCCUUGAUGCAAUCCAUGCUAAACUCUCCACACGCUUAUAGCUAAAACAAGGCCUUUACCGAUGAUAUCGUCGAUGCUAUGAUGAAAUCUCUUGAAGAGAAACUUGAAUUGGAAGUUUCUAUUCCUAGAAAACUUCAUGAUGAGUGGGAACCUACUACCAAAAUCAAGAUAAAAAACUAUGAAUGCAAUGCUUUGUGUGAUUUGGGUGCUAGUGUUUCCGCGAUUCCAGUCUUUAUGUGAUGUUCUAGGCUUUAAUGAGAUUGAUGAGUGCUCUCUUAAUUUGCAUCUUGCAGAUUCUACUGUUAAGAAACCUAUGGGAAGGAUCAAUGAUGUUCUUAUUAUUGCAAAUAGGAACUAUGUACCCGUAGAUUUCAUUGUGCUUGACAUUGAUUGCAAUCCUACAUGUCCUAUCAUUCUUGGUAGACCUUUCCUAAGGACUAUUGGUGUUGUCAUCGAUAUGAAGGAAGGGAAUAUUGGAUUUCAAUUUCCUUUAAAGAAGGGCAUGGAACAUUUUCCUAGAAAGAAAAUAAGAUUGCCUUAUGAAUCCAUGAUGAGGGGUACUUAUGGUUUGAGCACCAAAGACGACGACACGUGAUUCUAUCGCCUUAUGCCUAGCUAAGGGCGUUAAACAAUAGCGCUUGUUGGGAGGCAACCCAAUGAAUUUAUCUUUGCUUUUUUUGCUUUCUAUUUUGUUGUGUCCACACCAUCAUAAUUCUGUUAUGAAUGUGUCUUUUUUGUUUCUUUUUUGUGUUUGAGCCAAGUAAAACCUUUAUGACUAGUUUGGUGAUGGUUGUUUGAUCAUGCUGGAAAAAGACAGAAACUUUUCACUAACAAAAUUAUUUUUCAUUUUUAUCCAGAAAGAGAUUUUGAGUUGAUUCUUUUUAUGCUGGUUGAUAUGCCAAUUGCCCAAACUGUCGUAAUUUGUUAGAAUUUUUUAGAUAACAGAAGUAUAUGAAGUAUACAGAUUGCUAUAGACUGGUUUGUUUUUUACAAAUUAUGUUUUUGUUGUGUUGAUUGCUUAUUUUGAUGAAACUAUGGAUAGUAUCGGGGGGUACUAGCCAUGUAAAAGUGAGAAUACAGUAAUCUAACACCAAUAUAAAUAGAAAUCAAGUUUGCUACAGUACCUCAAGAGGUGGUAGUUUGUGUUCUUGUGCUAAUGAUAUCACGAGUUUCUGUUUAAGUUUUGUGUUGUGAAGUUUUCAAGUUUUGGGUGAUGUUCUCAUGGACAAAGGGAUAAAGAGUGGAAAGAGAUCAAGCUUGGGGAUGCCCAAGGCAUCCCUAGCCAAAUUCAAGGACACCAAAAAGCCUAAGCUUGGGGAUGCCCCGGGAAGGCAUCCCCUCUUUCGUCUUCAAUCCAUCGGUAACAUUACUAGGAGCUAUAUUUUUAUUCACCAGAUGAUAUGUGUUUUGCUUGGAGCGUCUUGUAUGAUAUGAGUCUUUACUUUUUAGUUUGCCACAAUCUAAGAUUAUCUCUUUGUUGUGUCACAAUCAUCGUUGCUGCACACCUUUUGAGAGAGACAUGCACUCAUCGUGAAUUUGCUAGAAUACUCAUUGAGCUUCGCUUAUAUCUUUUGAAUUAGGCAAUUUAGCUCACAUGUGUUUCACUUAUAUCUUUUGAGCUAGAUAAAUUUGCUCUAAGUGCUUCACUUAGAUCUUUUAGAGCACGGCGGUGUGUAGCGACCCGACUCAAAACAAGUCAAGCCUCUAUGUAUCUGUGCCAUCCCUGGAUCAGUAUGUUGGCACACACAGUACAUCAAUGUAUAUAUCAAAGUGCAAUCACAUGUAAACAACGUAAAAUUGAUAUAUACCUCAAAAUCUCAGCGGAAACAAUCAAGGGAAUGGAGUCCCAAUAAACACCAACGGCAAGUUGAGUGCACAGCGUAACACACCAACGGCAGGUUGAGUGCAGACCGUAACCCUGAAUCAUACUCUUACUCGUCGAAGAAAGUAUCUGCAACAUAAGACGUUGUAGCCGUGUGUUGGGGAACGUCGCAUGGGAAACAAAAAAAUUCCUACGCGCACGAAGUCCUAUCAUGGUGAUGUCCAUCUACGAGAGGGGAUUUCCGAUCUAUGUAUCCUUGUAGAUCGCACAACAGAAGCGUUAAGAAACGCGGUUGAUAUAGUGGAACGUCCUCACGUCCCUCGAUCCGCCCCGCGAACCGUCCCACGAUCCGUCCCACGAUCCGCUCUGAUCUAGUGCCGAACGGAUGGCACCUCCGCGUUCAGCACACGUACAGCUCGACGAUGAUCUCGGCCUUCUUGAUCCAGCAAGAGAGACGGAGAGGUAGAUGAUUUCUCUGGCAGCAUGACGGCGCUCCGGAGGUUGGUGGUGAUCUAAUCUCAGCAGGGCUCCGCCCGAGCUCCGCAGAAACGCGAUCUAGAGGAAAAACCGUGGAGGUAUGUGGUCGGGCUGCCGUGGCAAAAGUUGUCUCAAAUUAGCCCUAAUAGCUCCAUAUAUAUAGGAGGAGAGGAGGGGAGGCUUGCCUUGAGGCUCAAAGAGUCCCAAGGGCUGCGCCACCAAGGAGGAGUUGGAGUCCUCCUCCAAUCCUAGUCCAACUAGGAUUGGAAGGUGGAGUCCUUCUCUUCUUUCCCACCUUUCCCUUUUUUUUCUCUCUCUUCUUUUGGUUUUUCUUUCUCUCUUGCGCAAGACAGCCUUGGUCUAACCGAACCUACUUGGUGUGCCACCCCAAGGUCCUUGGGCCCUCCCGGGUGGGUGGUCCCCCCUCCCGGUGAAGAUCCAGAACCCAUUCGUCAUUCCCGGUACAUUACUGGUAAUGCCCGAAAACCUUCCGGUAACCAAAUGAAGUCAUCCUAUAUAUCAAUCUUCGUUUCCGGACCAUUCCUGAAACCCUCGUGACGUCCGUGAUCUCAUCCGGGACUCCGAACAACAUUUGUUAACCAACCAUAUAACUCAAAUACGCAUAAAACAACGUCGAACCUUAAGUGUGCAGACCCUACGGGUUCGAGAACUAUGUAGACAUGACCCGAGUGACUCCUCGGUCAAUAUCCAAUAGCGGGACCUGGAUGCCCAUAUUGGAUCCUACAUAUUCUACGAAGAUCUUAUCGUUUGAACCUCAGUGCCAAGGAUUCAUAUAAUCCCGUAUGUCAUUCCCUUUGUCCUUCGGUAUGUUACUUGCCUGAGAUUCGAUCGUCACUAUCCGCAUACCUAUUUCAAUCUCGUUUACCGGCAAGUCUCUUUACUCGUUCCGUAAUACAAGAUCCCGCAACUUACACUAAGUCACAUUGCUUUCAAGGCUUUGUGUGUGAUGUUGUAUUACCGAGUGGGCCCCGAGAUACCUCUCCGUCACACGGAGUGACAAAUCCCAGUCUUGAUCCAUGCUAACUGAACANNNNNNNNNNNNNNNNNNNNNNNNNNNNNNNNNNNNNNNNNNNNNNNNNNNNNNNNNNNNNNNNNNNNNNNNNNNNNNNNNNNNNNNNNNNNNNNNNNNNNNNNNNNNNNNNNNNNNNNNNNNNNNNNNNNNNNNNNNNNNNNNNNNNNNNNNNNNNNNNNNNNNNNNNNNNNNNNNNNNNNNNNNNNNNNNNNNNNNNNNNNNNNNNNNNNNNNNNNNNNNNNNNNNNNNNNNNNNNNNNNNNNNNNNNNNNNNNNNNNNNNNNNNNNNNNNNNNNNNNNNNNNNNNNNNNNNNNNNNNNNNNNNNNNNNNNNNNNNNNNNNNNNNNNNNNNNNNNNNNNNNNNNNNNNNNNNNNNNNNNNNNNNNNNNNNNNNNNNNNNNNNNNNNNNNNNNNNNNNNNNNNNNNNNNNNNNNNNNNNNNNNNNNNNNNNNNNNNNNNNNNNNNNNNNNNNNNNNNNNNNNNNNNNNNNNNNNNNNNNNNNNNNNNNNNNNNNNNNNNNNNNNNNNNNNNNNNNNNNNNNNNNNNNNNNNNNNNNNNNNNNNNNNNNNNNNNNNNNNNNNNNNNNNNNNNNNNNNNNNNNNNNNNNNNNNNNNNNNNNNNNNNNNNNNNNNNNNNNNNNNNNNNNNNNNNNNNNNNNNNNNNNNNNNNNNNNNNNNNNNNNNNNNNNNNNNNNNNNNNNNNNNNNNNNNNNNNNNNNNNNNNNNNNNNNNNNNNNNNNNNNNNNNNNNNNNNNNNNNNNNNNNNNNNNNNNNNNNNNNNNNNNNNNNNNNNNNNNNNNNNNNNNNNNNNNNNNNNNNNNNNNNNNNNNNNNNNNNNNNNNNNNNNNNNNNNNNNNNNNNNNNNNNNNNNNNNNNNNNNNNNNNNNNNNNNNNNNNNNNNNNNNNNNNNNNNNNNNNNNNNNNNNNNNNNNNNNNNNNNNNNNNNNNNNNNNNNNNNNNNNNNNNNNNNNNNNNNNNNNNNNNNNNNNNNNNNNNNNNNNNNNNNNNNNNNNNNNNNNNNNNNNNNNNNNNNNNNNNNNNNNNNNNNNNNNNNNNNNNNNNNNNNNNNNNNNNNNNNNNNNNNNNNNNNNNNNNNNNNNNNNNNNNNNNNNNNNNNNNNNNNNNNNNNNNNNNNNNNNNNNNNNNNNNNNNNNNNNNNNNNNNNNNNNNNNNNNNNNNNNNNNNNNNNNNNNNNNNNNNNNNNNNNNNNNNNNNNNNNNNNNNNNNNNNNNNNNNNNNNNNNNNNNNNNNNNNNNNNNNNNNNNNNNNNNNNNNNNNNNNNNNNNNNNNNNNNNNNNNNNNNNNNNNNNNNNNNNGCCUUGCAAGUCUUGGAGUCUUCAGGUCUUGAUUAUUAAAUUACCCACAACACUCAUGAUAAACACUUAACCAAACCCCGUCUACUAGAAGCAUAGCAAAAUAACGUCCCGGCCAAAGUAACAAGGGUUUAGGGGUGCCUAUCAUAACAUACUACUCAAUAACCAAAGUUUCCAAGUACCUACUUGCAUGCAAUGGGUGAAGAAGGUUGAAGCUAAUGCAAUAAAACCAUAUGUAAAAAAUAUGACCAAUGUGAACUUGACUGGUAUUACUUAAUGAAGACAAUCGCUCUCAUAAUCCUGAUAAUUCUACUCGUCACAUUCCGAGCAAUCUAUCAUAAAUGAAUAACAUUCAAUAAACAUUCAUGCCAAAAGUAAGAACCAAAAGAACAUAAGAACAAAACAUGUCUUGGUGCAAAAUAAUAAUAUACCAAGAUUUAAUAAGAAAAGACAGGGUCUUAUGGUGUUGUAAAAGGAAAGGUGAAAGGGGUCAACUCAAAAGAGUCAAAGGAUGAUCAACUAUCGCUAUAUAAGCUCGACUUGCAUGUGCUAUGGGAGAUGAUAAAAAAUAUUGGGAGAACAACAUGAAUGUUGUUUGACAAAUAGUAUAAGACAUAAGAAUUUAUUUGUAGAAAGAAUUUCUUGAAAUGGAGCACUACAACACAAGUUAUAGUGAAUUGAAGUAUGAUUUGAAUUUGUAUUCAUAAGGUCAAAAGAAGUUGAACUAUAGUACGAUAGUUAUGUACAAAAAUAUAUGACAUGAGUGUUUAGGGGUAAAAGGAAUCAAUUGAAAAGGUGUUACGAUUUGCAAGAUAAGAUCAAAUGAAUGUUCGAAUACAAAUUUGAAUUGCUCAAAUUUGUAAGUUUCAAAGGUUGAAACUAAUGAUGCUACUCGAUAUAGGAGAUCAAUAUGAACAUGUAGAAAAAAGAAUUACUAGAUUUGAAAUAGUGGAUCAAAAGAUACAAAUACUUCAAUAUAACAUUGAAUCAGCUUAGAACGAUGUGAACACUUUUGGGCACUAAUAGAUAAAUCUGAUUUGAUCAAAAUUAUAAGUUGAAAAAUUAAAACUAAUGAUACAAACGGGAAGAUUACUUUGAUACGAAUCCGACGUAAUUGGAUUCAUCUAAAACGGAGCUACGGAUAAAAAGGUAUGAUCAAAAGAAGUUUCAAUAUGAGUGUGAACAAAUUUCGAAAUUUGAAAAUUUCAAAAAAGCUGAUAUGAUAGGUUCAUUAGAUAGGUGGGAUCAAGACGGAACUCUAGGCGUUGGUUUCAUCUAAGUCGGAUAAAUGAGUAAAAAGUUUUGACUAUUUGAAAAAUCAGGGCCAAGCUGCUUUACGAAAGAAAAGUGCUAUGUCUAAAAGAAUUCUAGGACUAAUGUGUAAAUACAAAGACUAAUUGAUAAAUCUAAUUACUCUACCAUAUAUUAGUGUAGGAAUACUAGUGUAGAAAUAAUAAACUACGGGAGUUUAAAAGAAAAAUACGAAGAGAAAUACCUUUAGAAUGCAGAGUAAGAAUUAAUUUCAAAGAGGAGACCAUUUCCAGAAAUCCCGUCGAAGAGAAUAAAAUAUUUUUAUUUAAUAAAUCUAGUUAUACCAAAAGAUUGAUUUAACCCGAAAUAUAUGAUUUUUGGAGACUUCAUGAAGCUAUAUUUAUAGGUGAUAAGAAUGUCUAAAGAUCAAUGGAUAGGCAAUGCGGGACUAAACAUNNNNNNNNNNNNNNNNNNNNNNNNNNNNNNNNNNNNNNNNNNNNNNNNNNNNNNNNNNNNNNNNNNNNNNNNNNNNNNNNNNNNNNNNNNNNNNNNNNNNUUCCUGAUAACUUCAGUUCCUUCGGCUGAAGUUGUCCAUGACCGUGGACACGGCUAAUCGAUUAGGUUUGAGUACUCUGCAGAGUUUUGCACACGUUCCCCAAAAGAUUUGAUUGCCUCCGUUGAAGUCCUCGCACUUCAGGGUGUCUGAGAACCAGAUGAUCAAAACAUGGUCUUUCAACGGGUUCCUCUGAGCCUCUAUCGGUGCCCAUCCAAUCCUACCGUUCUUCUACAUCUCGUAGCACCGCCCGUCCAGAGUCACCAUGUUGUCCAACCAAGUCAGAGCCCAUAAUGACUUGUGGCUGUGCAGGUAAGCCUUGGGUCUUGAAAUAUCCAUCCAUCUCUUUGAGCCUGGGUGAAGCUUUCCGCAAGAUGUCAUGGCGCUUCUCCAUGCAUCCCGGGUUCUCCGCUGGUUUUCCCAGGGAGCCCAUCUGAACCGUCCUUCACCCUGAGGUAUAUUUCGUUCUAAGGUCUUGCAAGUCUUGGAGUCUUCAGGUCUUGAUUAUUAAAUUACCCACAACACUCAUGAUAAACACUUAACCAAACCCCGUCUACUAGAAGCAUAGCAAAAUAACGUCCCGGCCAAAGUAACAAGGGUUUAGGGGUGCCUAUCAUAACAUACUACUCAAUAACCAAAGUUUCCAAGUACCUACUUGCAUGCAAUGGGUGAAGAAGGUUGAAGCUAAUGCAAUAAAAUCAUAGGUAAAAAAAUAUGAUCAAUGUGAACUUGACUGGUAUUACUUGAUGAAGACAAUCGCUCUCAUAAUCCUGAUAAUUCUACUCGUCACAUUCCGAGCAAUCUAUCAUAAAUGAAUAACAUUCAAUAAACAUUCAUGCCAAAAGUAAGAACCAAAAGAACAUAAUAUAGCGAAUUGAAGUAUGAUUUGAAUUUGCAUUCAUAAGGUCAAAAGAAGUUGAAUUGUAGUACGAUAGUUAUGUAUAAAAAUAUAUGACAUGAGUGUUUAGGGGUAAAAGGAAUCAAUUGAAAAGGUGUUACGAUUUGCAAGAUAAGAUCAAAUGAAUAUUCGAAUACAAAUUUGUAUCGCUCAAAUUUGUAAGGUUCAAAGGUCGAAACUAAUGAUGCUACUGGAUAUAGGAGAUCAAUAUGAACAUGUAGAAAAAAGAAUUACUAGAUUUGAAAUAGCAGAUCAAAAGAUACAAAUACUUCAAUGUAACAUUGAAUCAGCUUAGAACGAUGUGAACACUUUUGGGCACUAAUAGAUAAAUCUGAUUUGAUCAAAAUUAUAAGUUGAAAAGUUAAAACUAAUGAUACAAACGAGAAGAUUACUUUGAUACGAAUCCGACGCAAUUGGAUUCAUCUAAAAUGGAGCUACGGAUAAAAAGGUAUGAUCAAAAGAAGUUUGAAUAUGAGUGUGAACAAAUUUCGAACUUUGAAAAUUUCAAAAAAGCUUAUAUGAUAGGUUCAUCACAUAGGUGGGAUCAAGACGAAACUCUAGGCGUUGGUUUCAUCUAAGUCGUAUAAACGAGUAAAAAGUUAUGACUAUUUGAAAAAUCAGGGUCAAGCUGUUUUACGAAAGAAAAGUGCUAUGUCUAAAAGAAUUCUAGGACUAAUGUGUAAAUACAGAGACUAAUUGAUGAAUCUAAUUACUCUACCAUAUACUAGUGUAGGAAUACUAGUCUAGAUAUAAUAAACUAUGGGAGUAUAAAAGAAAAAUACGAACAGAAAUACCUUUAGAAUGUAGAGUAAGAAUUAAUUCCAAAGAGGAGACCAUUUCCAGAAAUCCCGUCGAAGAGAAGAAAAUAUUUUUAUUUAAUAAAUCUAGUUAAGCCAAAAGAUUGAUUUAACCCGAAAUAUAUGAUUUUUGGAGGCUUCAAUGAAGCUAUAUUUAUAGGUGAAAAGAAUGUCUAAAGACCAAUGGAUAGGCAAUGUGGGACUAAACAUAUACGUAAUGUGGAGAAAAAGAAAAAGAAAGGCAGAGGGGUGCUGCAUGGGCCAAAGAGUUUCGGCCAGCCGCAUGUAGGGCAUUUCCGGCCAACCGUUUUUUUAUUUCUUUAUUAUUUUUUGGAAAAAAAACAGCGAAGAAAAAAUAUAUCAAAAUUUUCAGAAUAAAAUUGCCUACAACGUGAACAUAUUUUCAAGACCAAAAAAUUACUGAAAAAUAUAUAUUUUGCAAUACUAUAAAAUGAAAAGGAUUUUGAAUUUCAAAUAAAUUGCGAAUACUUAAAAUUUGAAUGAAGACAUUGUCUGUGAUUUUGGAGUGUCAUUUUCCUCCUCUCAUUUGAUUUUUUUAUCAGAGGGUUUUUGAAAAUAUUCAAAUUCAAAAAUUUAAUAGGGAGAAUUUUUUUUGGGAAGUCAUUUUAUUCCCUCUCAUUUUUUUAAACUUUCAAAUUCCACUCAAUUUUAAACAAUCAAUCACACAUCAUUCAAGAAAAAAAAAUCAUUAUUAUUUAUUUGUUAUAACAUUCCAAAAUUUAAAAUUUUGGGAUGUUACACGGUGUCAUAUUUUGGAGAAAUAAGAACUCUCGAUCUUCACUCAUAUCUUUUUGAGAGUGCUCUCUGUGAGUAACUUGGUAGUUGGCUUGUGCUAUGAAAGUAGUCUCAAAGGUGAUAGGCACCCAAAGAGGAUACAAUAAAACUUCCAUAUUCAUGUGCAUUGAUUAGAAAGAGAAGUUUGAUUCCUCUCAAUUAGUUUUUGAGACAUGGAUUUGGUAAUAUUAAGAGUUAUGUUAGUAGGGUGUUGUGAAUCUAGAAAUACUUGUGUUGAAGUUAGUGAUUCCCGUAACAUGCACAUAUGGUGAACCGCUAUGUUAGGAAGUCGGAGAAUAGUUGAUUUAUUGAUUGUCAUCCUUUGUGUUGCGAUCGGGAUCGCGCGAUGGUUAACACCUACCAACCCUUCCCCUAGGAGUAUGCGUUUAGCACUUUGUUUCGAUUACUAAUAAAAACUUUCGCAAUAAGUAUGUGAGUUCUUCAUGACUAAUGUGAGUCCAUGGUAUAGAUGCACUUUCACCUUCCACCGUUUCUAGCCUCUCUAGUGCCGCACAACUUUCGUCGGUGCACAAACCCACCAUAUACCUUCCUCAAAACAGCCACUAUACCUACCUAUUAUGGCAUUUUCAUAGCCAUUCCGAGAUAUUGCUAUGCAACUCCCACCAUUCCAUCUCAUGACUUGUGCUGUCACUUUCAUAUUGCCAUUGCAUGAUCGUAAGAUAGCUAGCGAGAUGUUUCAACGUCAUACGCUAAGCUAGAUCGUUGCACAUCUCGGUACACUGCCGGAUGCAUUUCCUAUAAGAGUCAUCAUUGUUCUAAGCAUUGAGCUGUGAGUAAAUUAAAGUGUGAUGAUCAUCAUUAUUAGAGCAUUGUGCCAUGUGAGGAAAUAAAAAAAAGAGGCCAAAGAUGCCCACAAAAAAAUGGAAAGAGGCCAAAGAGCCCAAACAAAAAAAGAGAGAGAAAAAGAGAUAAGGAACAAUGCUACUAUCUUUUUCCACACUUGUGCUUCAUAAUAGCACCAUAUUAUUCAUGAUUGAGAGUCUCUUGUUUUGUCACCACCAUAUGCUAGUGGGAAUCUUCAUUAUAUAACUUGGCUUGUAUAUUCCAAUGAUGUGCUUCCUCAAAAUUUCCCUAGGUCUUCGUGAGCAAGCAAGUUGGAUGCACACCCACUAGUUCUCCUUUUGAGCUUUCACAUACUUAUAGCUCUAAGUGCAUCCAUUGCAUGGUAAUCCAUACUCUUUCACAUUGAUAUCUAUUGAUGGGCAUCUCCAUAGCCCUUUGAUACGCCGAGUCGAUGUGACCAUCUCCUCCUUUUUGUCUCACAACCUCCACCACACUAUGUUCCACCCAUAGUGCUAUAUCCAUGGCUCACGCUCAUGUAUUGCGUGAGAGUUGAAAAAGGUUUGAGAAAGUAAGAGUGCGAAAACAAUUACUUGGCCAAUACCGGGGUUGUGCAUGAAUUAAAUUAGUUGUGUGGGGAUGAUGGAGCAUAGCCAGACUAUAUGAUUUUGUAGGGAUAAUUUUCUUUGCCUUGUUAUUUCGAAAGUUCAUGAUUACCUUGCUAGUUUGCUUGAAGUAUUAUUGUUUUCAUGUCAAUAGCAAACUAUUGCUUUGAAUCUUACGGAUCUGAACAUUCAUGUCAGAUGAAAGAAGUUACAAAGGACAAAUAUGCUAGGUAGCAUUCCACAUCAAAAAUUCAGUCUUUAUCACUUCCCUACUCGAGGACGAGCAGGAGUUAAGCUUGGGGAUGCUUGAUACGUCUCCAACAUAUCUAUAAUUUUUGAUGUCUCCAUGCUAUUAUCUUGUCAAACUUUGGAUGUUUUGUAUGCCUUCUAUAUCUUUUUUGGGACUAACUUAUUAACUCAGUGCCAAGUGCAAGUUCCUGUUUUUUCCGUGUUUUUGACCCUUUUCAGAGGAGAAUAUUAAACGGAGUCCAAACGGAAUAAAACCUCCAAAAAGAUUUUUUCCGGAACAGAAGAUACGCAGGGAGCUUGAGAACCAAGGCAGAGGGCACGAGGGGAGGCCACAAGCCCCCUAGGCGCGGCCUGGAGGCCCCGCGCCUAGCAGGCUUGUGGGCGCCGUGUGGCUCCUCUACCCUACUUCUUCCGCCUAUAAAUCUCUGAAAAUCCAAAACCACGAGAGAGAUCCUCGAAAAUACUUUUCCGCCGCUGCAAGCUUCUGUCUCCGCAAGAUCCCAUCUGGGGCACGUUCUGGCGCCCAUCCAGAGGGGGGAUUCGGAUACAGAGGGCUUCUUCAUCAACACCAUUGCCUCUCCGAUGAUGUGUGAGUAGUUCACCAUAGACCUCCGGGUCCAUAGCUAGUAGCUAGAUGGCUUCUUCUCUCUCUUGGAUCUUCAGUAUAAAGUUCUCCAUGAUCUUCAUGGAGAUCUAUCCGAUGUAAUCUUCUUUUGCGGUGUGUUUGUCGAGAUCCGAUGAAUUGUGGAUUUAUAAUCAGAUUAUCUAUGAAUCUUAUUUGAGUUUCUUCUGAUCUCUUAUAUGCAUGAUUUCAUAUCCUUGUAAUUCUCUUCGAGUUGUGGGUUUUGUUUGGCCAACUUUAUAUACGAUUCUUGCAAUGGGAGAAGUGCUUGGUUUUGGGUUCAUACCGUGCGGUGACCUCACCCAGUGACAGAAGGGGUAGCGAGGCACGCAUCGUGUUGUUGCCAUCAAGGGUAAAAAGAUGGGGUUUAUAUCUAUUGCAGGAAUUUAUCCCUCUACAUCAUGUCAUCUUGCUUAAGGUGUUACUCUGUUUGUCAUGAACUCAAUACACUAGAUGCAUGCUGGAUAGCGAUCGAUGUGUGGAGUAAUAGUACUAGAUGCAGAAAGUAUCGGUCUACUUGUCUCGGACGUGAUGCCUAUAUGUAUGAUCAUUGCCUUAGAUAUCGUCAUGACUUUGCGCAGUUCUAUCAAUUGCUCGACAGUAAUUCGUUCACCCACCGUAAUAUUUGCUAUCUUGAGAGAAGCCUCUAGUGAACACAAUGGCCCGCGGGUCUACUUCACAUCAUAUUUUCAGCUCUACACUUUUACUUUGUUGCACUUUCCGCCUUCAAAUCUCACCUUGCAAUCAAUCACGAAGGGAUUGACAACCCCUUUGUAGCGUUGGUUGCAAUAUUGCUGUUUUUGUGCACGUACAUUGGUGCCUCAUCUUGAUACUCCUAUUGGAUUGAUACCUUGGUUCUCAAACCAAGGGAAAUACUUACUGCUACUGUGAUGCAUCACCCUUUCCUCUUCAAGGGAAAAAACCAACGCAAGCUCAAGAGGUAGCAAAGAGACAUGAUAUUCAUCUUGGUCCUGCCUUUUGGGAGGAAGAUGAAUUGAUAACAAAGACUGAAAAUAAGAGUCUCCAAAAGAAUUUCUUAGAGAUGGAAAUCAAAGAGGCCAUUUUUGGCUCUUAUGCUAAUCGUGCCCCCAGCCCUGAUGGCCUAUCUUUUCUUUUUUAUCAGACCUUUUGGGAGCUGAUUAAAGCAGAUUUCAUGGCUAUGGUGAGAGAUUUUGAGGAAGGAAGACUGGAUAUACAUAGACUCAAGUUUGCUUUAAUCAUUUUAAUACCAAAGGAGCCCGAUGCCAAAACUAUGAAGAAAUUAAGACCUAUCAGUGUGAGUAACUGUGUUGUUAAUUUUUUUCCAAGGCAUUUACUAAUAGAUUGUCCCCUAUUACUAAUAGAUUAAUCUCCCCUAAUAAAAUUGCAUUUAUUAAAGGGAGAUAUAUCCUUGAGAGUGUGGUGUUGGCUCAUGAAGUGAUUCAUGAAGUGAAGAAAUCUAACACCCCAGGGCUUGUGCUCAAACUGGACUAUGAAAAAGCUUACGAUCGGGUUAGCUGGGAUUUCCUGUUUGAUAUGCUUGAAUCCCGGGGUUUUGUCCCCAAAUGGAUUGCCUCGAUCAGAAGUUUAUUGAUUCAAGGUACUUUUAGUGUACGUAUUAAUGACACGACUGGACCCUACUUUGUAGGUGGUAAAGGUCUCAAACAGGGAGACCCCAUAUCCCCACCGUUAUUCAACUUAGUAGCUGAUGUUUUUUCAAAAAUGCUAACUAAAGCUUCCAGUCAUGGACUAACUUCGGGGUUACUAACAAAUGGUAUACCGGGUGGGAUUAUCAGUCUUCGGUAUGCGGAUGAUACUCUCCUCUUUCUAGAGGAUUCGUAUGAGAAGGCGAGGAACUUUAAAUGGAUCUUAACUUGCUUUGAAAGUCUCUCGGGUAUGAAAAUCAAUUUUCAUAAAAGUGAACUCAUCACUAUUAAUGUGGAUGAAGAAAGUGCGAGGGUCUGUGCCCAAUUUUUUUGUUGUAAUCUAUGUUCUUUUCCAAUUAAAUAUUUGGGAGUGCCUCUACGCUACGACAAGUUAAGAAGAGAAGAUCUUCAACCAUUAAUUGAUAGAAUCAUUAAGGGUAUUUCUGGCUGGUUGGGGAGAUAUGUGACUUAUAAAGGCAAAAUUAUUCUGUUGUGUGCUUGUAUUGUUAGUAUUUCUGCUUACCUAAUGGCAGUGAUGAAAUUCCCAAAAUGGGCUAUUAAUGCUAUUAACUCCCAGAUGACACACUUCUUCUGGGGUAAUAUGGGUGAUCAGCAUAAGUAUCAUUUAGCCCAUUGGGGAUUGGUUUCCAGAAAAAGAUUUUGGAGGGUUAGGGAUUCCCAAUUAAGAGAAUAUAAUAUGGCUUCGUUAGCCUCUUGGGGGAAGAGAUUCUUUAAUAAUAACAAUAGUGAUUGGAAGAAGUUAUUAGCUUACAGAUAUAAUGUUUAUAGCCCAAAUAUAUUUUGGUCCAGACAACAAGGGGCUCUCCCUUUUGGAAGAGUGUAACCUAGGCUUUACAGGCUGCUAGAAAUUUCUAUCACUGGAAAAUUGGUAAUGGUGAUAACAUUAGGUUCUGGCAUGAUAAUUGGGCUGGGGAUUGUUCCCUCAAAGUCAGGUUUUGGGAGUUGUUUGAAAUCUGCAAUCAACAAGAGUGCUCUGUGUCUCAGGUUUGGGAUGGGGCCUCUUUUAGACUUUCUUUUAGAAGAUGUGUGGAUCAUAGGGUUAUCACAAGCUGGAAUGAUCUCAUUGAUCACAUCAAAAAUUUCCCUUGUCAAAUACUUCUGAUAUGCCAGUUUGGCUCUUAGAGCCUAAUGGCAUCUACUCAGUGAUUUCUCCUUUUGGAGACACUUUAUGGAAAACUUUACGUGCUCAAAAUAUUCAUGUGUUCUUAUGGCUAUGUAUAUACAACAAGAUACUAACUAGGGACAAUGUAGCUAAGAGGAAAACUUUGGAUGAUUUAACAUGUUUGUUUUGCAAUGAAGCAGAAUCUGUGCGACAUCUAUUCUUUGAUUGUAUUAAUGCUCGUAGUAUGUGGUCAAUCAUAUCUGAGUUUUUUUAAUAUGAGUAGAAUACAAUGCUUUAGUGAUGUAUAUUCCUUGUGGAAAGUAAACAAAAAAAGACAUGUGCUUAAUUUGAUUAUUGUUGCCUCCUUAUGGAGUAUUUGGACAUUGAGGAAUGAAUUUUGCUUCUAGGGGCGCACCUGGAGAGGUGUGGGCCGCGGCCUUGUCAAACUAAGAGGGACUUUGCAACAAUUGCUGGUACUUUGCGACGCUGCUCAAACAGACGUUCUGAAGAAAUUCAUUUUGCUGCUGGACAAGCAUCGAGGGGAGCUCCUAAGGAUUGCGUGGACACAAGCUUCUGAUUGAUCUUCCUGUUGCCUUGUAAUAAUAAAAGUUAAAUCUGUUUGUGGUUAGUCUUGCUCCAAGAAUGCUUGUUAAACUUUCAUGUAGUAAGUUUCAUGGGGGUAUCAGGUCUAUGGUUAUUCAGGACAUUUCCUUUGUGUCAUGCUUGAUUGGGGGAAGGUCCUUUUGAUUUUCUUAUCUGCUGGUAGUGUUUGAGCUGUAAGGUGGAUGUUGGCUGCUUUGUUUAAAUAAAAUGAGGAAGGGGGGAGACUCCUUUCUUUCAAAAAAAAUAUAUAUCAUGAAAUCUAAAACGUACACGUGCACCAUCUCGUGUUCGCGAGCGGCCGAACGCGCGUUGUUCGAUCGCGUCCGAUCGAACGAGCUAGAUCCUGCAGGUGGCGCUUGGUCGAGACGAGCCGAGUAGCCCACCUGGUCCGCCCGUGCCCCCCGGUCCUCCCGGUCCCACUCGUCAUAGAGAAAAGAAUCCCACUUAGUGGGGCGUGAUGGGCGGUGUGGUUUCAAAUUUCGAGCCACGCUCUCUCGACACUUCAUCCACUUGUACCGUUCAUUCCCCUCCCCUCCCUCCAUUUCCUCCUCGUCGGCAUUUCCCAUAUUUCUCGUCGUUGCGCUCGGCGAGGGAGAGCCGGAGGAACGGCGCGACCGAAGGCGUGGGCUCGCCAAAUCUUUUGGUGACCAGGUAAGGUUGUCGCUCAGAGUAUUUUUGUCGUGCGAGGUCGAGAUCGUGUCUAGGUAUAGGGAGGGCGAAGAAGGGCCGCACGACAGCAUUGUUUCAAGCUUUGGAGGUGGUGAGGACGGCUACGGCGGCGAGGCGCGCAUCAACGAUGAGCGCGUUGAUGCGCGAAGAGGGUCGUAGAGCGGCGAGUAGUUCCAGGUCGUGUUGCGGCGUAGUUGGAGGGGUCGCGAGAGGUUAUGAGGUAGGCGGCGAUGUCCAGGCUGCGGAGGAGGAACGGGCGACCUCCUCUAGUCGUGUUAGGGGAGUCCCACGAGCAAAAUCCCAUCACAUUGUGGUCAUCUGGUCGUGAUGCCUCCGUAGGCGACCCCCUAUGGUCGUGAUGUUCGUGUGAUAUGUGUAUAGGUGAUCAAUUUUUGGUCGAUUUCUUCCUCGAGAUGUGGGUUGGUUGUUUGAUUUGUGAUUUUAUGCAAUCUCAUGGAGAUUUUUGAUCUUCUAAUGUGCAAUUGUGAUGUUUGUGUUGGGGAACGUUGCAUGGGAAACAAAAAAUUUCCUACGCGCACACAAGAUCUAUCCAUGGUGAUGACCAUCUACGAGAGGGGAGAGUGCAUCUACAUACCCUUGUAGAUUGCUAAGUGGAAGCGUAUAUAACGCAGUUGAUGUAGUCGUAUGUAUUUGCGAUCCAAUCACGACCCGUCCCGUGAUCCCAUCACGAUCCGUCCCGCGAUCUCAUCAUGAUACUUGCCAAUUAAGUGCCGAACAGACGACAUCUCCGCGUUCAGCACACGUACAGCUCGAUGACGAUCUCCGCCUUCUUGAUCCAUCAAGAGGGGCGGAGAAGUAGAUGAUUUCUCCAGCAAGACGGCAUGGUGGUGGUGGUGGUAAACUAAUCCAACAGGGCUUCACCAAGCUCUCCUGAACUAAUCUAGAGGAGAAAACGACCUAGAGAGAGAGGGCAACACGUGGCUUAUUAGGGUUAAGGCUACCCUCAAAUCCUCUAGUAUAUAUAGGAGGGAGGGAGGGGAGGAGGCAGCCAAAAAAACCCUUCAAGGGUUCGGACGAAUAGGUGGAGGUGGAAGAGUCAACCUCCAAUCCUACUCAAAGUAGGAUUCCUUUCAUACUUGGAAACCUCCCCUCCUUUGGUUUUUUUCUUCCCCCACCUCUUGGCCGCAUGUGCCCCUUGGGUCUGGCUCAGCCAGCCCACUAAGGGCUGGUGUGCCACCCCUAAAUCCCAUGUAGCCUCCCGGCGUGGGUGACCCCUCCCGAUGGCCCUCCCGACAUUCCCGGUACACUGCCGAAAAUAGCCGAAACUUUUCCGGUGACCAAAAUGGGACUUCCUAUAUAUCAAUCUUUACCUCCGUACUAUUCUGGAGCUCCUCGUGACGUACGGGAUCUCAUCUGGAACUCCGAACAACUUUUGGUUACCAACACUCAUAACUCAAUAAUACCGAAACGUCACCGAACCUUAAGUGUGCAGACCCUACGGGUUCGAGAACUAUGCAUACAUGACCUGCGACACUCUCCGGUCAAUAACCAAUAGCGGGAUCUGGAUGCCCAUAUUAGAUCCUACAUAUUCUAUGAAGAUCUUUAUCGGUUGAACCUCUAUGUCAAGGAUUCAGCUAAUCUCGUAUGUUGUUCCCUUUGUCCUUCGGUAUGUUAUUUGCUCGAGAUUCGAUCGUCGGUAUCUCCAUACCUAGUUCAAUCUCGUUACCGGCAAGUAUCUUUACUCGUUCCAUAAUACAAGAUCCCGUGACUAACUCCUUAGUCACAUUUCUUGCAAGGCUUGUUGUGAUGUUGUAUUACCGACUGGGCCCUGAGAUACCUCUCCGUCACACGGAGUGACAAAUCCUAGUCUUAAUUCAUGCCAACCAAACAAACACCUUCGGAGAUACCCGUAGAGCACCUUUAUAGUCACCCAGUUACGUUGUGACGUUUGAUACAAAUAAGGUAUUCCUCCGGUGUUCGGGAGUUGCAUGAUAUCAUGGUCAUAGGAAUACAUACAUUGACAUGCAGAAAACAUUAGCAAUAAACUGACACGAUCAUAUGCUACGUUCAUAGUUUGGGUCUUGUCCAUCACAUCAUUCUCCUAAUGAUGUGAUCCCAUUAUCAAACGACAUCUCAUCUCUAUGGCGAGGAAACCUUGACCAUCUUUGAUCAACGAGCUAGUCCUUUAGAGGCUCACUAGGGACAGUGUGUUGUCUAUGUAUCCACACAUGUAUUUGAGUUUCCAAUCAAUACAGCUCUAGAAUGGAUAAUAAACGAUUACCAUGAACAAGGAAAUAUAAUAACAACCAAUUUAUUAUUGCCUCUAGGGCAUAUUUCCAACAACCUCCCACUUGCACUAGAGUCAAUAAUCUAGUUCACAUCACUAUGUGAUUGCAAUGAAUCUAACACCCAUAUAGUUCUGAGGUUCGAUCAUGUCUUUCUUGUGAGAGAGGUUUUUAGUCAAUGGGUCCGAAACAUUCAGAUCUGUUUGUACUUCACAAAUCUCUAUGUCAUACUUGAGAUCCUUCUACCACGCUUUACUUGGAACAAUUCCAAAUGACUGCUCCACUAUACGAUCCAGUUUACUACUUAGAGUUAUCCGGAUUAGUGUCANNNNNNNNNNNNNNNNNNNNNNNNNNNNNNNNNNNNNNNNNNNNNNNNNNNNNNNNNNNNNNNNNNNNNNNNNNNNNNNNNNNNNNNNNNNNNNNNNNNNUUGCGCUAUAGCUCUACUGUUUUUAUAUGUUCCUAGAGAAAAUUUAGGUGAAAGUUGAUAGUAGAAAACUUUGCAGACUGAGUCUGUAAAACCGAGGAUUGUCCUCGUUGUUGCGCAGAAGGCUUAUGUCCUUAAUGCACCACUCGGUGUGCUGCACCUCGAGCGUAGUUUGUAGAUGUUGUGAACAUCCAACAUACACGUUUCUGAUGACUACACGACAGUUCAGUACAAAAUACUUAAUGGCUUAGAAGCAAGGCGCCGAAGACGUUUUGAAACGUCACGCAACAUAAGAGAUGUUCUAAAGAGAUGAAAUUGUGAUUUCAUGCUUGUGCCCUUGUUAAGAGGUAUGAGACCUCCGACAAGAUUCUUUGUCCACGAAGUAAAGGAGAAAAGCUCAAUCGUUGAGUGUGUGCUCGGAUUGUCUGAAGUACGAAAAACACUUGAAUCAAGUGGGAGUUAAUCUCCCAGAUGAGAUAGUGAUGGUUCUCCAAAGUUACUACCACCAAGCUGUGAGAGCUUCGUGAUGAACUAUAACAUAUCAAGGAUAGACACAAUGAUCCUUGAGCGAUUCGCGAUGUUUGACACUGCGAGAGUAGAAAUCAAGAAGGAGCAUCAAUAGUUGAUGGUUAGUAAAACCACUAAGUUUCGAGAAAGGCAAGGGCUAGAAGGGAUACUUCGUGAAACGGCAAAGCAGUUGCUGCACUAAUGAUGAGACCCCAUAUUAAACCCAAGCCCGUGACUAAGUGCUUCUGUUAUGAGGGGAACGGUCACUGAGGCGGACAACUCUAGAUACUUGGUAGAUAAGAAGGCUGGCAAAAGUCGUAAGAAGUAUAUUUGAUAUACAUGAUGUUGAUGUGUACUUUACUAGUACUCCUAGUAGCACGAGGGUAUUGGAUAUCGUUCGGUUGCUAAGUGACUAGUAACACGAAAUGAAAGCUACGGCAUAAACGGAGACUAGCUAAAGGCGAGGUGACGAUACGUGUUGGAAGUGUUUCCAAGGUUGAUAUGAUCAAACGUCGCACGCUCCCUCUACCAUCGGGAUUGGUGUUAAACCUAAAUAAUUGUUAUUUGGUGCUUGCGUUAAGCAUGAACAUGAUUGGAUCGUGUUUAUUGCAAUACGAUUAUUCAUUUAAAGAGAAUAAUGGUUACUCUAUUUGCUUGAAUAAUCACCUUCAAUGGUUUAUUGAAUCUCGAUCGUAGUGUUACACAUGUUCAUGAUAUUGGUGCCAAAAGAUACGAGGUAAUGAUGAUAGUACCACUUACUUGUGGCACUGCCGCUUGAGUCAUGUUUGUAUAAAUUGCAUGGAGAGGCUCCAUGCUGAUGGAUCUUUAUACUCACUUGAUUUUGAAUCACUAGUGACAUGCAAAUCAUACCACGUGAGCAAGACCUUGUUUCCAUUGAGAUGAAACAAGAUAGUAACUUGUUGGAAGUGAUACAUUUUGAUGUAUGCAGUCCAAUGGGUGCUGAGGCACGCAGUGUAUAUCAUUAUGUUCUUACUGCAAAUGACGAUUUGAGUAGAUACAAGAGUAUUUACUUAAUGAAUAACAAGUCUGAAAUAUUGAAAAGUUCAAUUCUGUUUUGGAGUGAAGUUCGUCGUAACAAGAGGAUAAAUUGUCUACGAUAUGAUCACAGAAAUGAAUAUCUGAGUUACGAGUUUUGGUACGCACUUAAGACAAUGUGAAAUUGUUUCGCAGUUCAUGCCACCUGGAACAUCAUAGUGUGAUGAUGUGUCUGAACGUCAUAUCCACGCACUGUUUGGUAUGGUGCAUGCUAUGAUGUCUCUUAUCGAAUUACCACUAUCGUUUAUGGGUUAUGCAUUAGAGACAACCGCAUUCACUUUAAAUAGGGCACCGCGUAUUUCCGUUGAGAUGACACAGUAUAGACUGAGGUUUAGAGAAAUCUAAACUGUCAUUUCUUGAAAGUUUGGGGCUUCGACACUUAUGUGAAAAAGUUUCAGCCUGAUAAGCUCGAACCCAAAGCGGAUAAAUGCAUCUUCAUAGGAUAUCCAAAACAGUUGGGUACAUCUCCUAUCUUAGAUCCGAAAGCAAAGUGUUUGUUUCUAGAAGCGGAUCCUUUCUCGAGGAAAGGUUUCUCUCGAAAGAAUUGAGUGGGAGGGUGGUAGAACUUGAUGAGGUUAUUGAACCAUCACUUCAACCAGUGUGUAGCAGGGCGCAGGAAGUUGUUCCUGUGGCGCCUACACCAAUUGAAGUGAAAGCUGAUGAUGGUGAUCAUCGAGCAUCGGAUCAAGUUACUACAAGCCUCGUAGGUUGACAAGGUCGCGUACUAAUGCAGAGUGGUACGGUAACCCUGUCUUGGAGGUCAUAUUGUUGAGCAACAGUGAACCUACGAGUUAUGGAGAAAGCAAUGGUGGGCCCGGAUUCCGACAAAUGGCUGGAAGCCAUGAAAUCCGAGAGAGGAUCCAUGUAUGAAAACAAAGUGUAGACUUUGGAAGAACUACUUGAUGGUCGUAAGACUAUUAAGUACAUAUGGAUCUUUAAAAGGACUAUUGAGUAAAGAUGGAUCUUUAAAAGGAAGACAGACGAUGAUGGUGAUUAGUCACUAUUAAGAAAAGCUCGACUUGUCGCAAAGAUGUUUCCGACAAGAUCAAACAGUUGACUAUGAUGAGACUUUAUCACUCGUAGCGAUGCUAAAAGUCUGUUAGAAUUAUGUUAGUAGUUGCUACAUUAUUUAUGAAAUAUUGCACAUAGGAUGUCAAAACAUUGUUUCCUCGACGNNNNNNNNNNNNNNNNNNNNNNNNNNNNNNNNNNNNNNNNNNNNNNNNNNNNNNNNNNNNNNNNNNNNNNNNNNNNNNNNNNNNNNNNNNNNNNNNNNNNUUCUCAACACCAUUUAUUAUUGAUGUGGGUAAUAUUGAUAACUUUGGCAUGAGAAAUGGUUGGUGGAACCUUCUCAUUAAAAACCAACAAUGUAGUAAGUUUUGCUUUUACCCUCUCUCUUGUUGUAGGAAAAUUUGCUUUACACAAAACUUAAACUACAGCCCCACCUUCCAUAUAUGCAUAUAGUACAGAUGAUAUUUACACCUCUCUCUUUUGUGACUUGCCGGCAUAUUCAAUAUGCUGACCUACACGGCUGCAACGUCUUAUGUUGCAGAUACUUUCUUCGACGAGUAAGAGUAUGAUUCAGGGGUACGGUCUGCACUCAACCUGCCGUUGGUGUUUAUUGGGACUCCACUCCCUUGAUUGUUUCCGCUGAGACUUUGAGUUAUAUAUCAAUUUUACGUUAUUUACAUGUGAUUGCACUUUGAUAUAUACACUGAUGUACUGUGUGUGCCAGCAUACUAAUCCAGGGAUGGCACAGAUACACAGAGGCUUGACUCGUUUUGAGUUGGGUCGCUACAGAUAUGGUAUCAGAACACAUGUUGACUAUAGGGCGUGACCCUAGAAACUGGAAAUCCCUUAGGAAAGGAUCUCUCUAAAAUUUAUUUCCAAGAACAUUCUUUACUUCUCAUCUCUUCGGAUUUCAUCAAAUGUUCUCUCUCACCUCAAAUAGUUAGACAAUACCCUUUCCCCUUUGACCAAAUGAAGGGUCAACUGAGUUCUACUUCAAAGUAAAGAGGACUUCAUUAUGCAUUUGAAGAACUGAAGCUGCACCAAUUGAAGACUCUGAAGACCCGAAGAAAUUCAAAGACCCUGAAGCAUUCCAAUAUUUAUAUGGCCAUUAGAAGUCCAAACCCCUGUUAUAUGCCCACGUUAGAUACGAUGAUUUGUGAGCCAUCAUUGGUGUGUGUUUUCCGACAACCACAAAUAAAAUCUAUUCUCAAAAAUAUUGUUUGUAUUGUGUGUAUCUCCCUCUUUCUCUUACCCGNNNNNNNNNNNNNNNNNNNNNNNNNUUUCCCUCUCUCUCUUACCCAUCUCAUCCCAAAAACAUUGGACCCAAUAGAUGGCGUAUGAAGCUGGACUUGUAAUCUCUGGACCAAUGACCCAACUGGAAGUUGAAAUAUGGAUUCAGAACAUGGAGAACCACUUCGGGAGAAAUUUGAUUUCAAGGAAAUAUGAAGUGGCACACGCUCUUCAGUACUUUACCCAAAGUUCUGCUAUCUGGUGGAAAAUGCAUCAUGCCAUACAAGGAUUUAGUGGAGCAGAAACUUGGGACGAAUUCAAGAAGACUCUGUUAAGAUCCCGUCUUAUUCAAAAGUGAUGUGAAAGCCCGAUGAAGAAGCCUUGUGCAUGCAAGAUCUGUGGAGAAAUAGGACACACCCAGGAAGAACACAAGGAUGGAUGCACCCAUUGUGAAGAAAAUCAUCGAGCGGAGGAAUGCCCAACUAGUCAGGUGACUUGCUUAUUGUGUGAAGGAACCACCCACUACCCAGCUCAGUGUCACAUUUACUCCAAGGUGCAACAAGUUGUCAACCAGCAGAAAGAAGUAAUGAAGGAAACGCUCAAGAACAAGAUUCUAGAAGAACCUGUGAUGAAGGAAAAUAUAGAAGACCCUGAUGGACAAAGCUUAACCAGAUUUUUCUCCACUGCAUGCUACUCAUGUGGAGAGGAAGGACAUUAUUCAGAGGAUUGCACGAAGGAAAGCCAUAAGAAUCUGGGAGACUUCCCAACGGAAAAAGUAGAGUUGGAUCCACUUGAAAUAGAAGAACUGGCCAGAACGGAGCAGUCCGGAAAGAAGAGAAAGUACCCUCGGAAAAGCCAAAACUCUGCAAAUAAAGACCUGAGUCAUAUCAGAUGUUUAAAGUUUAUGGAAUUUGGCCACUACAAAAAUAUGUGCCCAAAAAGGAAGCAGGAAAACCAAGCAGUAAUAGUAAACUCCAAGAAGCCCCGAGACUUGUCGGAACUCAUUUGUUUUUGUUGCAAGGAAGCAGGACAUUAUGCUAGUAAUUGUCCACAGGGGAAGAAAGCUAAAGAUGGAGUAGUUAAGUUUUGACAAUGGCAAUAAGUGUAACAUGAAGCACUCUUGUUUCAUGAUAUUAUGGAGUUAAAUUUUGUAAGGGAAGUCUCUAAGAUUGUAAUAACUUCAUGAAUCAAUAAAAUUUAUUGUGUCAUGAUUUCCUAUGUUGAAACUGUAUGCGUUGUUUCUCUACGAACAAAGAUCUCUGACCAUCUAUGAGGAUAUGAGAAAAUAUGGUCUAUGCACGCAUGAGUAUAUUUCAUUUUAAGUGUGGUAGUAAUCGGUAAACCCACAGGAUCCAAUGAGUAGGAAUGUACCAUGCAUACCAAGGAGCCAAACCCACUGAAUACCAUUUAAGGAAAUGUUGGACCAUAUCAAACUAUGUGGGUGACAACAUUUGUAACCAAGUACUUUUGAAGUGGAAUUUCGAGAAUAGAAUGAGGAUGAAAUGAAGUAAUGAUUAUGAGGAACCAAUACCUAAGGGUAAAGAGAACAAUGGAAUGGAAAAUUAGUUCAAAGAGUCGAAUUUGUACCAAGGAUGCAUCUCAAGAUUUUCAUGAAGGUUAUCCUAAGAACAUGAAGGGAUAAACUAUGAUGGAUCAGCAAAUGUUUUCUUAGGAACAUACAAAAACCUGAGAGUGGUGAAGAACACGAUAGAUGUUUUGUUUAGCUUGCAGAACCCAUGGAUUCGUACAAACUUCGUUCGUGUACAAGAGAUAUUUCUGCAAUGCUGGUGAGGACGCCCAAGUGUUAGAAUGAGAGAUUCGCUAAACCUUAUACAGAGUAAUGAUUUGGGUGCGGAAUGGAUUGAUCACCAUGAUGACUUACUCUUAUCAUUCUCUUGCUAUUCGGAUUGGUAAAUCUAAGUGACUUACCCAUAGAGAGAGACGACGUUCUUUAAAGCUUUUGUUUAAGCCUUGGAAUGGUAUGAUGAAAGCCCAUGUACAUGGCAAUUGUUCUCAUGCGUAGGAUUUUUUUUACGGUGAGGAUAAAUCCAAGACCCUUUUCACUGCAGGAUAACCACAAAUGGUAGACCACCAUGAGAAUCAUCGAUAGGUUAUUUAGAAUGGUCACGAGACUUGUCAGACAAGAAGAUCGAGUGACGAAAGAAGCUUAAAUCCACGAAAGACAUCGGAAUUUGAGGGGAACAUUAUGAGUAUAAUGGAAGAUCAUCACCAAAGGAGUUGAGAUGAAGAAUGUGACGAGACAAAUGCCAAGACCCCACAGGAUUGUUAAAAUUUUGAGGGACUGGUAACUCUCAUUUUAAGUGUGGUAGCACCCCACUUUGCAGGAGAUUGGAUUUGUUAGAAGACCUCCAAAACCUAAAACUUUUCUUUCUAGCCUCUACGAAUCUCGAGGACGAGAUUCAUUUUAAGUGUGGUAGUUUGUAACAUCCCAAAAUUAUAAAUUUUGGAUUGUUAUAACAAAUAAGUAAUUAUGAUUUUUUUCUUGAAUGAUGUGUGAUUGAUUGUUUGAAAUCGAGUGGAAUUUGAAAGUUUUAAAAAAAAAUGAGAGGGAAUAAAAUGACAUUCCAAAAAAAUCUCCCUAUUCAAUUUUUGAAUUUGAAUAUUUUCAAAAACCCUUUGAUAAAAAAAUCAAAUGAGAGGAGGGAAAUGACUCUCCAAAAUCACACACAAUGUCUUCAUUCAAAUUUUAAGUAUUCGCAAUUUAUUUGAAAUUCAAAAUCCUUUUCAUUUUAUAGUUAUUGCAAAAAAAAAAUUUGAAGUAUUUUUUUGGUCUUGAAAAUAUGUUCAUGUUGUAGGAAAUUUUAUUCUGAAAAUUUUGAUAUAUAAUAUGCCUAUAUAAAAUAUUCUCUUAAUUUUGUAUAUAUAUUUUUUCUUCGUUGUUUUUUCCAAAAAAAUAAAAAAGUAAAAAAAUGACUAGCCGGAAAUGCCCUACACGUGGCUGGGCGAAACUCUUUGGCCCAUGCGGCACCCCUCUUCCUUUCUUUUUCUUUUUCUCCACAUUACGUAUAUGUUUAGUCCCGCAUUGCCUAUCCAUUGAUCUUUAGACAUUCUUAUCACCUAUAAAUAUAGCUUCAUGAAGUCUCCAAAAAUCAUAUAUUUCGGGUUAAAUCAAUCUUUUGGUAUAACUAGAUUUAUUAAAUAAAAAUAUUUUAUUCUCUUCGACGGGAUUUCUGGAAAUGGUCUCCUCUUUGAAAUUAAUUCUUACUCUGCAUUCUAAAGGUAUUUCUCUUCGUAUUUUUCUUUUAAACUCCCGUAGUUUAUUAUUUCUACACUAGUAUUCCUACACUAAUAUAUGGUAGAGUAAUUAGAUUUAUCAAUUAGUCUUUGUAUUUACACAUUAGUCCUAGAAUUCUUUUAGACAUAGCACUUUUCUUUCGUAAAGCAGCUUGGCCCUGAUUUUUCAAAUAGUCAAAACUUUUUACUCAUUUAUCCGACUUAGAUGAAACCAACGCCUAGAGUUCCGUCUUGAUCCCACCUAUCUAAUGAACCUAUCAUAUCAGCUUUUUUGAAAUUUUCAAAUUUCGAAAUUUGUUCACACUCAUAUUGAAACUUCUUUUGAUCAUACCUUUUUAUCCGUAGCUCCGUUUUAGAUGAAUCCAAUUACGUCGGAUUCGUAUCAAAGUAAUCUUCCCGUUUGUAUCAUUAGUUUUAAUUUUUCAACUUAUAAUUUUGAUCAAAUCAGAUUUAUCUAUUAGUGCCCAAAAGUGUUCACAUCGUUCUAAGCUGAUUCAAUGUUAUAUUGAAGUAUUUGUAUCUUUUGAUCCACUAUUUCAAAUCUAGUAAUUCUUUUUUCUACAUGUUCAUAUUGAUCUCCUAUAUCGAGUAGCAUCAUUAGUUUCAACCUUUGAAACUUACAAAUUUGAGCAAUUCAAAUUUGUAUUCGAACAUUCAUUUGAUCUUAUCUUGCAAAUCGUAACACCUUUUCAAUUGAUUCCUUUUACCCCUAAACACUCAUGUCAUAUAUUUUUGUACAUAACUAUCGUACUAUAGUUCAACUUCUUUUGACCUUAUGAAUACAAAUUCAAAUCAUACUUCAAUUCACUAUAACUUGUGUUGUAGUGCUCCAUUUCAAGAAAUUCUUUCUACAAAUAAAUUCUUAUGUCUUAUACUAUUUGUCAAACAACAUUCAUGUUGUUCUCCCAAUAUUUUUUAUCAUCUCCCAUAGCGUAUGCAAGUCGAGCUUAUAUAGCGAUAGUUGAUCAUCCUUUGACUCUUUUGAGUUGACCCCUUUCACCUUUCCUUUUACAACACCAUAAGACCCUGUCUUUUCUUAUUAAAUCUUGGUAUAUUAUUAUUUUGCACCAAGACAUGUUUUGUUCUUAUGUUCUUUUGGUUCUUACUUUUGGCAUGAAUGUUUAUUGAAUGUUAUUCAUUUAUGAUAGAUUGCUCGGAAUGUGACGAGUAGAAUUAUCAGGAUUAUGAGAGCGAUUGUCUUCAUCAAGUAAUACCAGUCAAGUUCACAUUGAUCAUAUUUUUUUACCUAUGAUUUUAUUGCAUUAGCUUCAACCUUCUUCACCCAUUGCAUGCAAGUAGGUACUUGGAAACUUUGGUUAUUGAGUAGUAUGUUAUGAUAGGCACCCCUAAACCCUUGUUACUUUGGUCGGGACAUUAUUUUGCUAUGCUCCUAGUAGACGGGGUUUGCUUAAGUGUUUAUCAUGAGUGGUGUGAGUAAUUUAAUAAUAAAGACCUGAAGACUCCAAGACUUGCAAGACCUUGUGCAAAACUCUGCAGAGUACUCAAACCUAAUCGAUUAGCCGUGUCCACGGUCAUGGACAACUUGAGCCGAAGGAACUGAAGUUAUCAGGAAUUCUCAACACCAUUUAUUAUUGAUGUGGGUAAUAUUGAUAACUUUGGUAUGAGAAAUGGUCGGUGGAACCUUCUCGUUAACAACCAACAAUGUAGUAAAUUUUGCUUUUACCCUCUCUCUUGUUGUAGGAAAAUUUGAUUUACGCAAAACUUAAACUACGGCCCCACCUUCCAUAUAUGCAUAUAGUAUAGAUGAUAUUUACACCUCUCUCUUUUGUGACUUGCCGGCAUAUUCAAUAUGCUGACCUACACGGUGUUGGAAAUAUGCCCUAGAGGCAAUAAUAAAUUAGUUAUUAUUAUAUUUCUUUGUUCAUGAUAAUCGUUUAUUAUCCAUGCUAUAAUUGUAUUGAUUGGAAACACAGUGCAUGUGUGGAUACAUAGACAAAACACUGUCCCUAGUAGGCCUCUAGUUGACUAGCUCGUUGAUCGAAGAUGGUCAAGGUUUCCUGACCAUAGGCAAGUGUUGUCACUUGAUAACGGGAUCACAUCAUUAGGAGAAUCAUGUGAUGGACUAGACCCAAACUAAUAGACGUAGCAUGUUGAUCGUGUCAUUUUGUUGCUACUGUUUUCUGCGUGUCAAGUAUUUGUUCCUAUGACCAUGAGAUCGUAUAACUCACUAACACCGGAGGAAUGCUUUAUGUGUAUCAAACGUUGCAACGUAACUGGGUGACUAUAAAGAUGCUCCACGGGUAUCUCCGAAGGUGUUCGUUGAGUUAGUAUGGAUCGAGACUGGGAUUUGUCACUCCGUGUGACGGAGAGGUAUCUCGGGGCCCACUCGGUAAUACAACAUCACACACAAGCCUUGAAAGCAAUGUGACUUAGUGUAAGUUGCGGGAUCUUGUAUUACGGAACGAGUAAAGAGACUUGCCGGUAAACGAGAUUGAAAUAGGUAUGCGGAUACUGACGAUCGAAUCUCAGGCAAGUAACAUACCGAAGGACAAAGGGAAUGACAUACGGGAUUAUAUGAAUCCUUGGCACUGAGGUUCAAACGAUAAGAUCUUCGUAGAAUAUGUAGGAUCCAAUAUGGGCAUCCAGGUCCCGCUAUUGGAUAUUGACCGAGGAGUCUCUCGGGUCAUGUCUACAUAGUUCUCGAACCCGCAGGGUCUGCACACUUAAGGUUCGACGUUGUUUUAUGCGUAUUUGAGUUAUAUGGUUGGUUACCGAAUGUUGUUCGGAGUCCCGGAUGAGAUCACGGACGUCACGAGGGUUUCAGGAAUGGUCCGGAAACGAAGAUUGAUAUAUAGGAUGACUUCAUUUGGUUACCGGAAGGUUUUCGGGCAUUACCAGUAAUGUACCGGGAAUGACGAAUGGGUUCUGGAUCUUCACCGGGAGGGGGGACCACCCACCCGGGAGGGCCCAAGGACCUUGGGGUGGCACACCAAGUAGGUUCGGUUAGACCAAGGCUGUCUUGCGCAAGAGAGAAAGAAAAACCAAAAGAAGAGAGAGAAAAAAAAGGGAAAGGUGGGAAAGAAGAGAAGGACUCCACCUUCCAAUCCUAGUUGGACUAGGAUUGGAGGAGGACUCCAACUCCUCCUUGGUGGCGCAGCCCUUGGGACUCUUUGAGCCUCAAGGCAAGCCUCCCCUCCUCUCCUCCUAUAUAUAUGGAGCUAUUAGGGCUAAUUUGAGACAACUUUUGCCACGGCAGCCCGACCACAUACCUCCACGGUUUUUCCUCUAGAUCGCGUUUCUGCGGAGCUCGGGCGGAGCCCUGCUGAGAUUAGAUCACCACCAACCUCCGGAGCGCCGUCAUGCUGCCAGAGAAAUCAUCUACCUCUCCGUCUCUCUUGCUGGAUCAAGAAGGCCGAGAUCAUCGUCGAGCUGUACGUGUGCUGAACGCGGAGGUGCCAUCCGUUCGGCACUAGAUCAGAGCGGAUCGUGGGACGGAUCGUGGGACGGUUCGCGGGGCGGAUCGAGGGACGUGAGGACGUUCCACUAUAUCAACCGCGUUUCUUAACGCUUCUGUUGUGCGAUCUACAAGGAUACAUAGAUCGGAAAUCCCCUCUCGUAGAUGGACAUCACCAUGAUAGGACUUCGUGCGCGUAGGAAUUUUUUUGUUUCCCAUGCGACGUUCCCCAACACACGGCUACAACGUCUUAUGUUGCAGAUACUUUCUUCGACGAGUAAGAGUAUGAUUCAGGGUUACGGUCUGCACUCAACCUGCCGUUGGUGUUUAUUGGGACUCCAUUCCCUUGAUUGUUUCCGCUGAGAUUUUGAGGUAUAUAUCAAUUUUACGUUGUUUACAUGUGAUUGCACUUUGAUAUAUACAUUGAUGUACUGUGUGUGCCAACAUACUGAUCCAGGGAUGGCACAGAUACAUAGAGGCUUGACUUGUUUUGAGUCGGGUCGCUACACACCGCCGUGCUCUAAAAGAUCUAAGUGAAGCACUUAGAGCAAAUUUAUCUAGCUCAAAAGAUAUAAGUGAAACACAUGUGAGCUAAAUUGCCUAAUUCAAAAGAUAUAAGCGAAGCUCAAUGAGUAUUCUAGCAAAUUCACGAUGAGUGCAUGUCUCUCUCAAAAGGUGUGCAGCAACGAUGAUUGUGACACAACAAAAAGAAAAAACUCCUAUAAUACACGAUGUGCAGAAAGGAUAAUUGUGAACAAACAAAAAGAAAAGACUCCUAAGAUACAAGACGCUCCAAGCAAAACACAUAUCAUCUGGUGAAUAAAAAUAUAGCUCCUAGUAAUGUUACCGAUGGAUUGAAGACGAAAGAGGGGAUGCCUUCCCGGGGCAUCCCCAAGCUUAGGCUUUUUGGUGUCCUUGAAUUUGGCUAGGGAUGCCUUGGGCAUCCCCAAGCUUGAUCUCUUUCCACUCUUUAUCCCUUUGUCCAUGAGAACAUCACCCAAAACUUGAAAACUUCACAACACAAAACUUAAACAGAAACUCGUGAUAUCAUUAGCACAAGAACACAAACUACCACCUCUUGAGGUACUGUAGCAAACUUGAUUUCUAUUUAUAUUGGUGUUAGAUUACUGUAUUCUCACUUUUACAUGGCUAGUACCCCCCGAUACUAUCCAUAGUUUCAUCAAAAUAAGCAAUCAACACAACAAAAACAUAAUUUGUAAAAAACAAACCAGUCUAUAGCAAUCUGUAUACUUCAUAUACUUCUGUUAUCUAAAAAAUUCUAACAAAUUACGACAGUUUGGGCAAUUGGCAUAUCAACCAGCAUAAAAAGAAUCAACUCAAAAUCUCUUUCUGGAUAAAAAUGAAAAAUAAUUUUGUUAGUGAAAAGUUUCUGUCUUUUUCCAGCAUGAUCAAACAACCAUCACCAAACUAGUCAUAAAGGUUUUACUUGGCUCAAACACAAAAAAGAAACAAAAAAGACACAUUCAUAACAGAAUUAUGAUGGUGUGGACACAACAAAAUAGAAAGCAAAAAAAGCAAAGAUAAAUUCAUUGGGUUGCCUCCCAACAAGCGCUAUUGUUUAACGCCCUUAGCUAGGCAUAAGGCGAUAGAAUCACGUGUCGUCGUCUUUGGUGCUCAAACCAUAAGUACCCCUCAUCAUGGAUUCAUAAGGCAAUCUUAUUUUCUUUCUAGGAAAAUGUUCCAUGCCCUUCUUUAAAGGAAAUUGAAAUCCAAUAUUCCCUUCCUUCAUAUCGAUGACAACACCAAUAGUCCUUAGGAAAGGUCUACCAAGAAUGAUAGGACAUGUAGGAUUGCAAUCAAUGUCAAGCACAAUGAAAUCUACGGGUACAUAGUUCCUAUUUGCAAUAAUAAGAACAUCAUUGAUCCUUCCCAUAGGUUUCUUAACAGUAGAAUCUGCAAGAUGCAAAUUAAGAGAGCACUCAUCAAUCUCAUUAAAGCCUAGAACAUCACAUAAAGACUGGAAUCGCGGAAACACUAGCACCCAAAUCACACAAAGCAUUGCAUUCAUAGUUUUUUAUCUUGAUUUUGGUAGUAGGUUCCCACUCAUCAUGAAGUUUUCUAGGAAUAGAAACUUCCAAUUCAAGUUUCUCUUCAAGAGAUUUCAUCAUAGCAUCGACGAUAUCAUCGGUAAAGGCCUUGUUUUAGCUAUAAGCGUGUGGAGAGUUUAGCAUGGAUUGCAUCAAGGAAAUACAUUCAAUCAAAGAGUAACUAUAGUAAUUGAUUUCCUUGAAAUCCAAAGUAGUAGUUUCAUUACUACUCAAAGUUUUGAUAUCCUCUACUCCACUUUCAAUGCUUUUAGCAUCAAGAUAGAUAGACUCCGAAUCAUUGGGGCGUUUUUCAACCAAGGUGGAUUCAUAUCCAGCCCCAUCAUAAUUAGGUUUGAGUUUUGACACUAGAAAACAAGGAUUCAAUGGGAGUCACACCAAGCACUUUAAGAUCUUCGUGAUUCUCAUCACAAGAACACGCCUUUUCAAGCCAUUCAUGUCUAGCACGAAUUUGGGCGGUUCUUUGUCUACUCUCAUUCAUGGAAACACGCAUAGCUUUCAAAGUUUCAUCCAUAUUGAUCUUGGGAGGAGCAUGUUGGAAAUAUGCCCUAGAGGCAAUAAUAAAUUAGUUAUUAUUAUAUUUCUUUGUUCAUGAUAAUCGUUUAUUAUCCAUGAUAUAAUUGUAUUGAUUGGAAACACAGUGCAUGUGUGGAUACAUAGACAAAACAUUGUCCCUAGUAAGCCUCUAGUUGACUAGCUCGUUGAUCAAAGAUGGUCAAGGUUUCCUGACCAUAGGAAAGUGUUGUCACUUGAUAACGGGAUCACAUCAUUAGAAGAAUCAUGUGAUGGACUAGACCCAAACUAAUAGACGUAGCAUGUUGAUCGCGUCAUUUUGUUGCUGUUGUUUUCUGCGUGUCAAGUAUUUGUUCCUAUGACCAUGAGAUCAUAUAACUCACUGACACCGGAGGAAUGCUUUGUGUGUAUCAAACGUCGCAACGUAACUGGGUGACUAUAAAGAUGCUCUACAGGUAUCUCCGAAGGUGUUCGUUGAGUUAGUAUGGAUCAAGAUUGGGAUUUGUCACUCUGUAUGAUGGAGAGGUAUCUCGGGGCCCACUCGGUAAUACAACAUCACACACAAGCCUUGCAAGCAAUGUGACUUAGUGUAAGUUGCGGGAUCUUGUAUUACGGAAAGAGUAAAGAGACUUGCCGGUAAACGAGAUUGAAAUAGGUAUGCGGAUACUGACGAUCGAAUCUCAGGCAAGUAACAUACCGAAGGACAAAGGGAAUGACAUACGGGAUUAUAUGAAUCCUUGGCACUGAGGUUCAAACGAUAAGAUCUUCGUAGAAUAUGUAGGAUCCAAUAUGGGCAUCCAGGUCCCGCUAUUGGAUAUUGACCGAGGAGUCUCUCGGGUCAUGUCUACAUAGUUCUCGAACCCGCAGGGUCUGCACACUUAAGGUUCGACGUUGUUUUAUGCGUAUUUGAGUUAUAUGGUUGGUUACCGAAUGUUGUUCGGAGUCCCGGAUGAGAUCACGGACGUCACGAGGGUUUCCGGAAUGGUCCGGAAACGAAGAUUGAUAUAUAGGAUGACUUCAUUUGGUUACCGGAAGGUUUUCGGGCAUUACCAGUAAUGUACCGGGAAUGACGAAUGGGUUCUGGAUCUUCACCGGGAGGGGGGACCACCCACCCGGGAGGGCCCAAGGACCUUGGGGUGGCACACCAAGUAGGUUCGGUUAGACCAAGGCUGUCUUGCGCAAGAGAGAAAGAAAAACCAAAAGAAGAGAGAGAAAAAAAAGGGAAAGGUGGGAAAGAAGAGAAGGACUCCACCUUCCAAUCCUAGUUGGACUAGGAUUGGAGGAGGACUCCAACUCCUCCUUGGUGGCGCAGCCCUUGGGACUCUUUGAGCCUCAAGGCAAGCCUCCCCUCCUCUCCUCCUAUAUAUAUGGAGCUAUUAGGGCUAAUUUGAGACAACUUUUGCCACGGCAGCCCGACCACAUACCUCCACGGUUUUUCCUCUAGAUCGCGUUUCUGCGGAGCUCGGGCGGAGCCCUGCUGAGAUUAGAUCACCACCAACCUCCGGAGCGCCGUCAUGCUGCCAGAGAAAUCAUCUACCUCUCCGUCUCUCUUGCUGGAUCAAGAAGGCCGAGAUCAUCGUCGAGCUGUACGUGUGCUGAACGCGGAGGUGCCAUCCGUUCGGCACUAGAUCAGAGCGGAUCGUGGGACGGAUCGUGGGACGGUUCGCGGGGCGGAUCGAGGGACGUGAGGACGUUCCACUAUUGUUCCACUACAUCAACCGCGUUCACUAACGCUUCUGCUGUGCGAUCUACAAGGGUACGUAGAUCGAAAAUCCCCUCUCGUAGAUGGACAUCACCAUGAUAGGUCUUCGUGCGUGUAGGAAAAAUUUUGUUUCCCAUGCGACGUUCCCCAACAGUGGUAUCAGAGCUAGGUUCAUGCGUAGAUGUAAUCUCGAGUAGAACACAAAAGUUUUUGUGGGCGGUGAUGUGCGUCUUGCUGCCCUCCUUAGUCUUUUCUUGAUUCCGCGGUACUGUUGGAUUGAAGCGGCUUGGACCAACAUUACUCGUACGCUUACGAGAGACUGGUUUCAUCGCUACGACUAACUCCGUUGCUCAAAGAUGACUGGCAAGUGUCGGUUUCUCCAACUUUAGUUGAAUCGAAUUUGACCGAGGAGGUCCUUGGAUAAGGUUAAAUAGCAAUUCAUAUAUCUCCGUUGUGGUGUUUGCGUAAGUAAGAUGCGAUCCUACUAGAUACCCAUGGUCACCACGUAAAACAUGCAACAACAAAUUAGAGGACGUCUAACUUGUUUUUGCAGGGUAUGCUUGUGAUGUGAUAUGGCCAACGACGUGAUGUGAUAUAUUGGAUACAUGAGAUGAUCAUGUUGUAAUAGUUAAUAUUGACUUGCACGUCGAUGGUACGGCAACCGGCAGGAGCCAUAGGGUUGUCUUUAAAAUAACGUUUGUGCUUGCAGAUGCGUUUACUAUAUUGCUAGGACGUAGCUUUAGUAGUAAUAGCAUGAGUAGCACGACAACCCCGAUGGCGACACGUUGAUGGAGAUCAUGAUGAUGGAGAUCAUGGUGUGACGCCAGUGACAAGAAGAUCGUGUCGGUGCUUUGGUGAUGGAGAUCAAGAAGCACAUGAUGAUGGCCAUAUCAUGUCACUUAUGAAUUGCAUGUGAUGUUAAUCCUUUAUACACCUUAUCUUGCUUAGAACGACGGUAGCAUUAUGAGGUGAUCUAUCACUAAAAUUUCAAGACGAAAUUGUGUUCUCCCCGACUGUGCACCAUUGCGACAGUUCUUCGUUUCGAGACACCACGUGAUGAUCGGGUGUGAUAGACUCAACGUUCACAUACAACGGGUGCAAAACAGUUGCACACGCGGAACACUCGGGUUAAGCUUGACGAGCCUAGCAUGUGCAGACAUGGCCUCGGAACACAUGAGACCGAAAGAUCGAGCAUGAAUCGUAUAGUUGAUAUGAUUAGCAUAGAGAUGCUUACCACUGAAACUAUUCUCGACUCACGUGAUGAUCGGACUUGAGAUAGUGUAUUUGGAUCAUGUACCACUCAAAUGACUAGAGAGAUGUACUUUUUGAGUGGGAGUUCUUAAGUAAUAUGAUUAAUUGAACUAAUUGUCAUGAACAUAGUCUAAUGGUCUUUGUGAAUUACGAUGUAGCUUGCGCUAUAGCUCUACUGUUUUUAUAUGUUCCUAGAGAAAAUUUAGGUGAAAGUUGAUAGUAGAAAACUUUGCAGACUGAGUCUGUAAAACCGAGGAUUGUCCUCGUUGUUGCGCAGAAGGCUUAUGUCCUUAAUGCACCACUCGGUGUGCUGCACCUCGAGCGUAGUUUGUAGAUGUUGUGAACAUCCAACAUACACGUUUCUGAUGACUACACGACAGUUCAGUACAAAAUACUUAAUGGCUUAGAAGCAAGGCGCCGAAGACGUUUUGAAACGUCACGCAACAUAAGAGAUGUUCUAAAGAGAUGAAAUUGUGAUUUCAUGCUUGUGCCCUUGUUAAGAGGUAUGAGACCUCCGACAAAAUUCUUUGUCCACGAAGUAAAGGAGAAAAUCUCAAUCGUUGAGCGUGUGCUCAGAUUAUCUGAGUACGACAAUCGCUUGAAUCAAGUGGGAGUUGAUCUUCCAGAUAAGAUAGUGAUGGUUCUCCAAAGUCACUGCCACCAAGCUGUGAGAGCUUCAUGAUGAACUAUAACAUAUCAAGGAUAGACACAAUGAUCCUUGAGCGAUUCGCGAUGUUUGACACUGCGAGAGUAGAAAUCAAGAAGGAGCAUCAAUAGUUGAUGGUUAGUAAAACCACUAAGUUUCGAGAAAGGCAAGGGCUAGAAGGGAUACUUCGUGAAACGGCAAAGCAGUUGCUGCACUAAUGAUGAGACCCCAUAUUAAACCCAAGCCCGUGACUAAGUGCUUCUGUUAUGAGGGGAACGGUCACUGAGGCGGACAACUCUAGAUACUUGGUAGAUAAGAAGGCUGGCAAAAGUCGUAAGAAGUAUAUUUGAUAUACAUGAUGUUGAUGUGUACUUUACUAGUACUCCUAGUAGCACGAGGGUAUUGGAUAUCGUUCGGUUGCUAAGUGACUAGUAACACGAAAUGAAAGCUACGGCAUAAACGGAGACUAGCUAAAGGCGAGGUGACGAUACGUGUUGGAAGUGUUUCCAAGGUUGAUAUGAUCAAACGUCGCACGCUCCCUCUACCAUCGGGAUUGGUGUUAAACCUAAAUAAUUGUUAUUUGGUGCUUGCGUUAAGCAUGAACAUGAUUGGAUCGUGUUUAUUGCAAUACGAUUAUUCAUUUAAAGAGAAUAAUGGUUACUCUAUUUGCUUGAAUAAUCACCUUCAAUGGUUUAUUGAAUCUCGAUCGUAGUGUUACACAUGUUCAUGAUAUUGGUGCCAAAAGAUACGAGGUAAUGAUGAUAGUACCACUUACUUGUGGCACUGCCGCUUGAGUCAUGUUUGUAUAAAUUGCAUGGAGAGGCUCCAUGCUGAUGGAUCUUUAUACUCACUUGAUUUUGAAUCACUAGUGACAUGCAAAUCAUACCACGUGAGCAAGACCUUGUUUCCAUUGAGAUGAAACAAGAUAGUAACUUGUUGGAAGUGAUACAUUUUGAUGUAUGCAGUCCAAUGGGUGCUGAGGCACGCAGUGUAUAUCAUUAUGUUCUUACUGCAAAUGACGAUUUGAGUAGAUACAAGAGUAUUUACUUAAUGAAUAACAAGUCUGAAAUAUUGAAAAGUUCAAUUCUGUUUUGGAGUGAAGUUCGUCGUAACAAGAGGAUAAAUUGUCUACGAUAUGAUCACAGAAAUGAAUAUCUGAGUUACGAGUUUUGGUACGCACUUAAGACAAUGUGAAAUUGUUUCGCAGUUCAUGCCACCUGGAACAUCAUAGUGUGAUGAUGUGUCUGAACGUCAUAUCCACGCACUGUUUGGUAUGGUGCAUGCUAUGAUGUCUCUUAUCGAAUUACCACUAUCGUUUAUGGGUUAUGCAUUAGAGACAACCGCAUUCACUUUAAAUAGGGCACCGCGUAUUUCCGUUGAGAUGACACAGUAUAGACUGAGGUUUAGAGAAAUCUAAACUGUCAUUUCUUGAAAGUUUGGGGCUUCGACACUUAUGUGAAAAAGUUUCAGCCUGAUAAGCUCGAACCCAAAGCGGAUAAAUGCAUCUUCAUAGGAUAUCCAAAACAGUUGGGUACAUCUCCUAUCUUAGAUCCGAAAGCAAAGUGUUUGUUUCUAGAAGCGGAUCCUUUCUCGAGGAAAGGUUUCUCUCGAAAGAAUUGAGUGGGAGGGUGGUAGAACUUGAUGAGGUUAUUGAACCAUCACUUCAACCAGUGUGUAGCAGGGCGCAGGAAGUUGUUCCUGUGGCGCCUACACCAAUUGAAGUGAAAGCUGAUGAUGGUGAUCAUCGAGCAUCGGAUCAAGUUACUACAAGCCUCGUAGGUUGACAAGGUCGCGUACUAAUGCAGAGUGGUACGGUAACCCUGUCUUGGAGGUCAUAUUGUUGAGCAACAGUGAACCUACGAGUUAUGGAGAAAGCAAUGGUGGGCCUGGAUUCCGACAAAUGGCUGGAAGCCAUGAAAUCCGAGAGAGGAUCCAUGUAUGAAAACAAAGUGUAGACUUUGGAAGAACUACUUGAUGGUCAUAAGACUAUUGAGUAAAGAUGGAUCUUUAAAAGGAAGACAGACGAUGAUGGUGAUUAGUCACUAUUAAGAAAAGCUCGACUUGUCGCAAAGAUGUUUCCGACAAGAUCAAACAGUUGACUAUGAUGAGACUUUAUCACUCGUAGCGAUGCUAAAAGUCUGUUAGAAUUAUGUUAGUAGUUGCUACAUUAUUUAUGAAAUAUUGCACAUAGGAUGUCAAAACAUUGUUUCCUCGACGGUUUCCUUGAGCAAACAUUGUAUGUGAUACAACCAGGAGGUUUUGUCGAUCCUAAAGAUACUAGCAAUUAUGCAAGCUCCAGCGAUCCUUCAAUGGACUGGUGCAAGCAACUCGGAGUUGGAAUAUACACUUUGAUGAGAUGAUCAAAGAUUUUGGGUUUGUACAAGUUUUAUGAGAAACUUGUAUUUCCAAAGAAGUGAGUGGGAGCACUAUAGAAUUUCUGAUAAGUAUAUGUGGUUGACAUAUUGUGGAUCAGAAGUAAUGUAGAAUUUUUUGUAAAGCAUACAAGGUUUUUUGAAAGGAGUUUUUCAAAGGAAUACCUGAAUUGCGCUACUUGAACGUUGAGCAUCAAAGAUCUAUGGAGAUAGAUCGAAAGCGCUUAAUAAAAGUUUCAACAAGAUGCAUGCCUUGACAAGUUUUUGAAGGAGUUCAAAAUAGAUUAGCAAAGAAGGAGUUCUUGGUUGCGUUGUAAGGUGUGAAUUUGAGUAAGACUCAAAACCCGACCCGGCAGAAUAAAGAGAAUAGACGAAGGUCGUCUUCUAUGACUUGGCCAUAGAAUCUGAAGUAUGCCAUGCUGGGUACCGCACCUGAUGUGUGCCUUGACUCAAAGUCUGUUGAGAGGUACACAGAGUGAUCCAUGAUUGAAUCACUAGCAGCGGUUAAAAUUUAUCCUUAGCAACUGAUGGACUAAGGAAUUUUUCUCGAUUAUGGAGGUGGUUAAAGAGUUCGUCGUAAAGGGUUACGUCGAUGCAAGCUUUGACACAAAUCCAAAUAACUAUGAGUAGUGAAACGGAUUCGUAUAGUAGAGUAGAUGUUUGGAGUAUUUCCGAAUAGCACAUAGUAGCAGCAUCUAUAAGAUGACAUAAAGAUUUGUAAAGAACAUACGGAUCUGAAAGUUUCAGAACCAUUGACUAAAACCUCUCUCACGAGCAAGACGUGAUUAGACCCCAUAACUAUAUGGGUGUUGGAUUCAUUGGAAUCACAUGGUGAUGUGAACUAGAUUAUUGACUCUAGUGCAAGUGGGAGACUGUUGGAAAUAUGCCCUAGAGGCAAUAAUAAAUUAGUUAUUAUUAUAUUUCUUUGUUCAUGAUAAUCGUUUAUUAUCCAUGCUAUAAUUGUAUUGAUUGGAAACACAGUGCAUGUGUGGAUACAUAGACAAAACAUUGUCCCUAGUAAGCCUCUAGUUGACUAGCUCGUUGAUCAAAGAUGGUCAAGGUUUCCUGACCAUAGGAAAGUGUUGUCACUUGAUAACGGGAUCACAUCAUUAGAAGAAUCAUGUGAUGGACUAGACCCAAACUAAUAGACGUAGCAUGUUGAUCGCGUCAUUUUGUUGCUACUGUUUUCUGCGUGUCAAGUAUUUGUUCCUAUGAUCAUGAGAUCAUAUAACUCACUGACACCGGAGGAAUGCUUUGUGUGUAUCAAACGUCGCAACGUAACUGGGUGACUAUAAAGAUGCUCUACAGGUAUCUCCGAAGGUGUUCGUUGAGUUAGUAUGGAUCGAGACUGGGAUUUGUCACUCCGUGUGACGGAGAGGUAUCUCGGGGCCCACUCGGUAAUACAACAUCACACACAAGCCUUGCAAGCAAUGUGACUUAGUGUAAGUUGCGGGAUCUUGUAUUACGGAACGAGUAAAGAGACUUGCCGGUAAACGAGAUUGAAAUAGGUAUGCGGAUACUGACGAUCGAAUCUCAGGCAAGUAACAUACCGAAGGACAAAGGGAAUGACAUACGGGAUUAUAUGAAUCCUUGGCACUGAGGUUCAAACGAUAAGAUCUUCGUAGAAUAUGUAGGAUCCAAUAUGGGCAUCCAGGUCCCGCUAUUGGAUAUUGACCGAGGAGUCUCUCGGGUCAUGUCUACAUAGUUCUCGAACCCGCAGGGUCUGCACACUUAAGGUUCGACGUUGUUUUAUGCGUAUUUGAGUUAUAUGGUUGGUUACCGAAUGUUGUUCGGAGUCCCGGAUGAGAUCACGGACGUCACGAGGGUUUCNNNNNNNNNNNNNNNNNNNNNNNNNNNNNNNNNNNNNNNNNNNNNNNNNNNNNNNNNNNNNNNNNNNNNNNNNNNNNNNNNNNNNNNNNNNNNNNNNNNNNNNNNNNNNNNNNNNNNNNNNNNNNNNNNNNNNNNNNNNNNNNNNNNNNNNNNNNNNNNNNNNNNNNNNNNNNNNNNNNNNNNNNNNNNNNNNNNNNNNNNNNNNNNNNNNNNNNNNNNNNNNNNNNNNNNNNNNNNNNNNNNNNNNNNNNNNNNNNNNNNNNNNNNNNNNNNNNNNNNNNNNNNNNNNNNNNNNNNNNNNNNNNNNNNNNNNNNNNNNNNNNNNNNNNNNNNNNNNNNNNNNNNNNNNNNNNNNNNNNNNNNNNNNNNNNNNNNNNNGGUUUCAUGCCCCAAGGGGUCUCAUGGUCUAUGGGAAGAGAUAAACCAGCCCCUAGUGGGCUGGAAUAAUUUCCCACUAAGGCCCAUAAGGUUUGAGAAGGAAAAAACACAAGGUGGAAAGAGUUUCCAAGUGGGAAGGUGGAAUCCUACUCCAAGUAGGAUUGGAGUAGGACUCCUCCACCUCCAAUUUCGGCCAAACCUUUAGGUUUUGAGGCUGCCUCCUCCCCUCCCUCCCUCCUAUAUAUAGUGGGGUUUUAGGGCUGAUUUGAGACAACUUUUUCAAGGCAGCCCGACCACAUACCUCCACGGUUUUACCUCUAGAUCACGUUUCUGCGGAGCUCGGGCGGAGCCCUGCUGAGAUUAGAUCACCACCAACCUCCGGAGCACCGUCAUGCUGUCGGAGAACUCAUCUACCUCUCCGUCUCUCUUGCUGGAUCAAGAAGGUCGAGAUCAUCGUCGAGCUGUACGUGUGCUGAACGCGGAGGUGCCGUCCGUUCGGCACUAGAUCGUGGGACGGAUCGCGGGACGGUUCGUGGGACGGUUCGCGGGGCGGAUCGAGGGACGUGAGGACGUUCCACUACAUCAACUGCAUUCACUAACGCUUCUGCUGUGCGAUCUACAAGGGUACGUAGAUCGGAAAUCCCCUCUCGUAGAUGGACAUCACCAUGAUAGGUCUUCGUGCGCGUAGGAAAUUUUUUGUUUCCCAUGCGACGUUCCCCAACAGAGCACAUCUAACUUUCAAAGCAUCAAUAUCAAGAGACAUUCUAUCAAUGCUCCUAGCCAAAUCAUCAAUUUUGAGUAGUUUUUCUUCUAUGGACGCAUUGAAAAUAUUUUGCGAGUUGAUAAACUCUUUAAUAUUACUCUCUAGAUCAGAGGCUAAUUUAUUGUAAUUUCCAUGAGCAUUGUUGUAGGAGUUGCCAAAGUUAUUAGAGGGAUUACUAGGAAAAGGCCUAGGAAUAUAGUUUCCUCUAAAAGCAUUGUUGUUGCCAAAAUUAUUCCUACCAACAAAAUUAACAUCCAAGCUUUCAUUGCUACUCUCAAUCAAGGAAGACAAGGGCAUGUCAUUUGGAUCUAAAGGAGCACCUUUACUAGCAAACAAUUUCAUUAACUCAUCCAUCUUAGCACUCAACGAGUUAAUUUCUUCUAUAGCGUGUACCUUUUUACUAGUAGGUGACCUUUCAGUGUGCCACUCAGAAUAGUUUGUCAUGAUAUUGUCUAGGAGUUUUGUGGCUUCUCCUAAUGUGAUUUCCAUGAAAGUUCCACCGGAGGCAGAGUCCAACAUAUUUCUAGAAGCAAAAUUCAAACCAGCGUAGAAGAUUUGUAUAAUCAGCCAAAGACUCAAGCCAUGAGCGGGACAAUUUCUAAUCAUCAAUUUCAUUCUCUCCCAAGAUUGUGCAACAUGUUCAUGAUCAAGUUGCUUAAAAUUCAUGAUAUCAUUACGGAGAGAGAUAAUCUUAGUCGGCGGAAAAUACUUGGAUAUAUAAGCAUCUUUGCACUUGUUCCAAGAAUCAAUACUAUUUUUGGGCAAAGAUGAAAACCAAGUUUUUGCUCGAUCUCGCAGUGAGAACGAAAAUAGCUUCAAUUUAAUCACAUCAUUAUCCACAUCUUUUUUCUUUUGCAUAUCGCAUAACUCAAUGACGCAUUAAGAUGGGAUGCGACAUCUUCACUAGGAAGGCCGGAGAAUUGCUCUUUCAUAACAAGAUUCAGCAAAGCAACAUUGAUUUCAUAUGAUUUCGCACUAGUGGCGGGAGCAAUCGGAGUACUAAUAAAAUCAUUAUUAUUAGUAUUCGAGAAGUCACAAAGUUUGGUGUUUUCAGUCAUGGUGACUUCAGCAAGUAGAUAAGCACACAAGCGAACAGAAAGCAAGCGAAAGAAAAGGGCGAACGAAAAAGGCAAAUAUUUUUUGUAAAUUUUUGUUUUUCAGAAGUGGGGGAGAGGAAAACGAGAGGCAAAAAAGUAAAUGCAAGAGAUGAGUUUGCGACACUAACUUGGAUAAGCUUCACUUGAUGCUCCCCGGCAAUGGUGCCAGAAAUUAUUCUUUCUACCUCUUGAGCUUGCGUUGGUUUUUUCCCUUGAAGAGGAAAGGGUGAUGCAGCACAGUAGCAAUAAGUAUUUCCCUCAGUUUGAGAACCAAGGUAUCAAUCCAGUAGGAGUAUCAAGAUGAGGCACCAAUGUAUCUAUGCAAAAACAGCAAACUUGCACCCAACGCUACAAAGGGGUUGUCAAUCCCUUCACGAUUGAUUGCAAGGUGAGAUCUGAAGGCGGAAAGUGCAACAAAGUAAAAGUGUAGAGCUGAAAAUAUGAUGUGAAGUAGACCCGGGGGCCAUAAUGUUCACUAGAGGCUUCUCUCAAGAUAGCAAAUAUUAUGGUGGUGAACGAAUUACUGUUGAGCAAUUGAUAGAACCGCGCAAAGUCAUGACGAUAUCUAAGGCAAUGAUCAUACAUAUUGGCAUCACGUCCGAGACAAGUAGACCGAUACUUUCUGCAUUUACUACUAUUACUCCAUACAUCAACCGCUAUCAACAUGCAUCUAGUGUAUUGAGUUCACGACAAACAGAGUAACGCCUUAAGCAAGAUGACAUGAUGUAGAGGGAUAAAUUCAUGCCAUAGAUAUAAACCCCAACUUUUUACCCUUGAUGGCAACAACACAAUGUGUGUCUCGCUGCCCCUUCUAUCACUGGGUGAGGUCACCGCACGGUAGGAAUCCAAAACCAAGCACUUCUCCCAUUGCAAUAAUCAUAGAUCAAGUUGGCCAAACAAAACCCACAACCCGAAGAGAAUUACAAGGAUAUGAAAUCAUGCAUAUAAGAGAUCAGAAGAAACUCAAAUAAGAUUCAUAGAUAAUCUGGUCAUAAAUCCACAAUUCAUCGGAUCUCGACAAACACAACGCAAAAGAAAAUUACAUCGGAUAGAUCUCCAUGAAGAUCAUGGAGAACUUUGUAUUGAAGAUCCAAGAGAGAGAAGAAGCCAUCUAGCUACUAGCUAUGGACCCGAAGGUCUAUGGUGAACUACUCACGCAUCAUUAGAGAGGCAAUGGUGUUGAUGAAGAAGCCCUACGUAUCCGAAUCCCCCUCUGUCUGGGCACCAGAACGUGCCCCAGAUGGGAUCUUGCGGAGACAGAAGCUUGCGGCGGCGGAAAAGUAUUUUCGUGGAUCUCUCUCGUGGUUUUGGAUUUUUCGGAGAUUUAUAGGCGGAAGAAGUAGGGCAGAGGAGCCACAGGGGGCCCACAAGCCUGCUAGGCGCGGGCCCCCCAGGCCGCACCUAGGGGGCUUGUGGCCUCCCCUGGUGCCCUCUGUCUUGGUUCUCAAGCUCCUUGCGUAUCUUCUGUUUCGGAAAAAAAUAUUUUCGGAGGUUUUAUUCCAUUUGGACUCCAUUUAGUAUUCUCCUCUGAAAAGGGUCAAAAACACGGAAAAAACAGGAACUGGCACUUGGCACUGAGUGAAUAAGUUAGUCCCAAAAAAGAUAUAAAAGGCAUACAAAACAUCCAAAGUUCGACAAGAUAAUAGCAUGGAACCAUAAAAAAUUAUAGAUACGUUGGAGACGUAUCACUCUCUUCAUGGCUAAACAAUCCUUUAUAAAAGGAUGUCGCCACUCCCAUCAUUUCCUUAGUAGUAUAGAAAGGCCCAUGUUCACCAAUUAGCUUAGGCACAUGAUUUUUGCGAUGUCUAUGAUUUGGUAAGGCAUGAAAAUAAGCAUUAUUUCUAUCACCAUCUUUAAUUCUACGAUCUCUUGAUCUCUGCCACAAGGAAGUCCCCUCCUUUCUCAUAAUACUUUCUAAUUCAGUUUUGAUGACUCUCAUACAUAUCUUAUCCUUGUCUGUAAUACGGUCAGUUUCCGCAAAAAUAUCUAAAAUAUCAAACUCCUGAACUAAUUCCUUCUUCUUUUUUUUAAUGGCAGCUUCAAUAUUCACACUCCAACCUUUAAUCUUCUUCCUAAGACGUUUAGAUUUAGAAAUCCAAACAUCAAUAGCACCUCUACCCAAAACUGGGUUAUUCCACACGGUCUCUACUAUUUUCCUAAAAUCAGGUUGUUCUAACCACCAUUUUUCAAACAUAAACAUCUUCAAAUAAGUAACUCUCUGGGCCAACGUAUCAAGCAAAAGGGGAGUAUGGUCACUUCCAAUUCUGGGGAGAUCCCUCAGCACUGAUAGUGGAAAUAAAGCAUCCCAAGAAGGGCAAACAAAAACUCUAUCAAUGGUGGCAUAGAUGGGAGUAUCCUGAUUAUUACACCAAGUGUACUUCCUAUUAGCAAUACUGAUUUCCAUCAAACCCCAUUUAUUGAUUCAGUCAUUAGAAACAAAAGCAACAAAAUGAUUUAUAUUACCACUACUCUUAUCACCAUUAGAUCUAAUGAGAUUAAAAUCACCACCCAAGAUAAUGGGAUAAGAAGCACUAGUCAUCACCUCAUGUAAUUCCGCAAUGAAUUCUACCUUACGCUCAUUAUAUGUUGUACCACAAACCGCAAUAAGUUGCCAGACAGAUUUCUCAGUUUUGUUUCUAACCAUAUCCGUCACACAAAAUUCUCUAUUAACAAAGCCAACAAUCUCACAGAUGUCACUGUUCAUGCCCACAAGGACACCACCAGUUGUACCAUGAGCACACAUUUGAUGCCAAACAUAGUUCUUGUUGCCCGCAAUUCUAUUCAGGGUGUUAUUAUCAAUAUUCUCUUUCUUGGUUUCAAAGAAACCAACAAAAUCCACUGAGUUUACUUUAAUGAACUCCUGCAGACGCUGAAUUUUACCAGGUUGACCCAGGCCUCGAAUAUUCCAGAAGGCUCCUAUCAUGAUAUUUAUAAGGAUGAGAUAGGCUACAAAGCCUUCUAGAUUGUUUUAGGUUUGGGCAGAAACAAUCCAGAUCAGCAGCGUCUUCCAAUCUGGUAGCAACCCCACCCUCACCAAGGGGAGAACCCCCAACCAUCCUAUGAAUCGGAGUGUCUAAAUUGUCAGGUAAUACAGUUUCAGGACUGGAAUCUGCAAAUUCGAGACAUCGAAGGCUCUCUCUAAGAACUAAAUCCUGAAUAAUAUCACUUUGUUCCACACAUCUAUCUCCCACACAUAUAUCAAUUUUAGAUAUCUGUUCAACAAGCAUUUUUGCAUCAGUAGUAACAAAAGAUUUACCUUGGAAAGAAGCAGGAAUUUCCAGGUUCUUCCUUUUUAGAUAUGCAGUAGCUUUCUCCAUGAUUUUAACAUUGCCAUGUUGUCUUGUAGCAGGUUUGGUAGAGAGCACAAGCCCCCAUUUCUUACCCUGAACUGAAUCCUCUUUCCUCUUUUUUCCAUCUCUGCCAUCUCCAAUGACUCUAUCAGAGAUCUUUUGGCAGAACCAAUUUUUUCUGCUAUGCUUUCACGAAGGCACACCAUUUCAGGCAGAUUGAUAUCAUCGUCUCCCUCAGAAUCACCCAUUUCAAUCUUCUUGAGUUGGGCAGAGCAAUACUCCAUAUGAGAAUAAAUAUCCAUAUCUUCUUGGUUUGGUAACAUCUCAGCAGCUUCAUGAGAGCCCUCCACAUGAGCAUGAGGGGUUUUGGACUCAACUUCCUCAAUGAACUGUUCAUGCACCUCAUCAUUCAGCAGCAUAGGAUGAAAAUUAGCUGCACAGACACAUGUCCCUUCCACUUUGCUUCCAGAAACAGAGCUUUUACCAUUAGAAAAGUUUGCCUUAUCAAGUUCAUCAAUAGGUUUAUCAGUAUCUCCUUCCAUAUAGUCUUUGUUCUGAUCAAAGCCAUCCUCCAACUUGUCAUCAUCUUCAACAUCCAAAUCUGGGUCAUCAUCAUCCCCUUCAGACCCCUCUCCAACCUGGUCAAAGCCUUCCACUUUGAAAAACAGAAUGUAUAUCUUCUUCUUCAUCUCAACCAGCCGCUCAUAUGGAAUUUUGGUAGGAUCUCUACAUGCCACUUUGAUUCUGAUUUUUUCAUAGAAGCUCUUAAAUAUUCCAUUCCAAUCCACAUCCACCAAGAUACCAAAACAAGAGGCAAUCUGAGCAAACACUUUCCAAGCACACCACUUUGGGGGGAUACCUUGCACCUGGAUCCAGAUCUCAGUUAGUUCUCCAUAUGGUUCUAGCAUCCCAACCCACUCACAAAUCUUCACACACACUCCAUCAAUGGGUAGGUCAAAAGCACGAAACUCAAUAAGAUCUUCUACCUUUUUCCAUGGAGGAAACCUUAGCAGGAAUUUCUUCUCCUCCAGCCCCCUAAUCUGCCAAGGCCACUCCUUCCCUUUGCAGAAAACACCAUACAGUUGAAUAAUCAGGUCGGAAGCAGAAACUUCACCUUUCAACAGUUUGAGAAAUUGCACAGUUUUUGUAGUUCAACCAAUUAGACUCAGCAGCAACAUGAAUAUAAAUGUGGUAAAAGCCCAAUCCUACUGCUGCAUGAUACGUCUCCAACGUAUCUAUAAUUUUUUAUGGUUCCAUGCUAUUAUCUUGUCAACUUUGGAUGUUUUAUAUGCAUGAAUAUGCUAUUUUAUAUCUUUUUUGGACUAACCUAUUAACUCAGUGCCAAGCGCCAGUUUUUGUUUUUCCGUGUUUUUGACCCUUUUUCAAAUGGAGUCCAAAUUGAAUAAAACUUUCGCGAUGAUUUUUUUGGACCAAAAGAGACCCCCGAAGCUUUGUAAGAAGGCCAGAAGAGCCACGAGGGAGUCACAAGCCCAGGAGGCGCCCCACCCCCUAGGUCGCACCUACCAGGCUUGUGACCUCCUUGUGGGCCCAACCGACGUAAUUCCACCGCCAUAAAUUCCUAUAAAUUUAGAAACCCCCAAAAAGAAACCUAGAUCGGGAGUUCCGCCGCCGCAAGCCUCUGAAGCCACCAAAAACCAGUCUGGAGCCCGUUCCGGCACCCUGUCGGAGGGGGAAUCCAUCUCUGGUGGCCGCCUUCAUCAUCCCGGCGAUCUCCAUGACGAGGAGGGAGUAGUUCACCCUCGGGGCUGAGGGUAUGUACCAAUAGCUAUGUGUUUGAUCUCUCUCUCUCGUGUUCUUGAGAUGUCUUGAUCUCGAUGUACCGCGGGCUUUGCUACUAUAGUUGGAUCUUAUGAUGUUCUUCCCCCUCUCCCUUCUUGUAAUGAAUUGAGUUUCGCAUUUGGAGUUAUCUUAUCGGAUUGAGUCUUUAAGAGCACUUGAUGUAUGUCUUGCACGUGUCUAUCUGUGGUGACAAUGGGAUAUUCAUGUGAGUACUUGAUGUAUGUUUUGGUGAUCAACUUGCGGGUUUCGUGACAUUGGGAACCUAUUCAUAUGGGUUGACACACGUUUUGACUCUCCCGUAGAAACUUUGGGGCACUCUUUGAAGUUAUAUGUGUUGGUUGAAUAGAUGAUUCUGAGAUUGUGUGAUGCAUAUCGUAUAAUCAUGCCCACGGAUACUUGAGGUGACAAUGGAGUAUCUAGGUGACAUUAGGGUCUUGGUUGAUAUGUGUCUUAAGGUGUUAUUCUAGUAUGAACUCUAUGAUGGAUCGAACGGAAAGAAUAGUUUCGUGUUAUUUUACUACGGACUCUUGAAUAGAUCGAUCAGAAAGAAUAACUUUGUGGUGGUUUCGUACCCGACAAUAAUCUCUUCGUUUGUUCUCCGCUAUUAGUGACUUUGGAGUGACUCUUUGUUGCAUGCUGAGGCUAGUUAUAUGAUCCAAUUAUGUUAUCAUUGUUGAGAGAACUUCACUAGUGAAAGUAUGAACCCUAGGCCUUGUUUCCAUGCAUUGCAAUACCGUUCGUGCUCGCUUUUACUUUUAGUUACCUUGCUGUUUUUGUAAUUUUAGAUUACAAAAACCUAUAUCUACCAUCCAUUGUGCACUUGUAUCACCAUCUCUUCGCCGAACUAGUGCACCUAUACAACUUACCAUUGUAUUGGGUGUGUUGGGGACACAAGAGACUCUUUGUUAUUUGGUUGCAGGGUUGCUUGAGAGAGACCAUCUUCAUCCUACACCUCCCGCGGAUUGAUAAACCUUAGGUCACCCACUUGAGGGAAAAUUGCUACUGUCCUACAAACCUAUGCACUUGGAGGCCCAACAACGUCUACAAGGAGAAGGUUGCGUAGUAGACAUCACUGCACUUCCAAAAUAUUCUGCCGUAGGUUGAAGACGGGCCCAGGCAAUGCAAUUAUUCACAUUAUGUGUGCCAGAGCAGAUGAAACAUCUCUUGGAUUCCACACAAUUCCCCACAUAAUGGCCAGGCCAACUGCAAUUGAAACAGAUCAUGUCUUUAUACCUUGGAUCUAGAGGUUGCAUAGCCGGGACUGGAGGAGGUGCAGGAGCCGAGUCUGGGUAUUGCCGGCUGGGGCCCCCUUAACAGUGUUGCCCGUAGUGGGUUUUGGGGCUGUUGGCGCCACCAUUGUUGUAGGUGCAGCAGGGGGUGGUGGAGGAGCUCCCUGUCCACCCUUCUUAGGAGGUUGUCUCUUAGGGCGCUCCCGUCCUCGUGGAUCCAUGAUCCUCUACACCACAACCGCAGAAGACACACUACCAGGUCCAAUUCCCUCACAGCUGAUCUGAAACUUGGUAGAGAUGGGGUCAAAACGACCAGGAUGAGCCACAUGACAAAUCUUUUCUAAUCCAGAACAGAUGACUACCAAGGGCAAAACUAGAUUUUGGGGAGGAGGAAGAUGGGCAUGUCUGGCCUGGCGGCGGCUGGGGGAGGGGAUAACCCACAACUAACCAUAAAAUUCCUCCACCUCCUCUUCGUUUAUGUCAUAUGGACUGGAAAACGCCUUUUCCUUUUCGCUUUCUUUUCCACCACCGAUCCUCUAAUCAACGGUUUCGAUACAACCUGGUGCCCCAAAGGAGGCCAGAACCUAUCUGAAACUCUGUCGGCCUCUCCUGUAGAAGCAGGUUUGCUAGCAGGAUGGGACCUCGUCGGAAAUUGAGCAAUGGAUAGAGAUCCAGAGACCACCGUAGGCUAGGUGUAUGGAAGAGGACCAACCUCCGAACCUAGGGUUUCCUGACUACCCCCUCAGUGUUUCCUUGAGGAACAUUCCUCGAAAUCCCCUUCCUAACCACAUUAUUAAUCUCAUCUGCGCAAGCAGGGGAUGCAUAUUUCAAAGGAAAUCUGCAUACCUUGCUCGACUUCCAUGGAACCUCGUCGCGAUCCCCCAGUCGAGCCCCCACAGUACACCCGUAGCAUGAUUGCCCACGCCUACGGGCGAUAACCUUCAGGGAAGGCGGGGAGGACUGACCCCCGGAGGCAGGAACUCCAGCGGGAUGUUGGCGAGCUCCACGAACGACGGCGGUCGGAUAUUGAGUCUGGCCGGGCUCGACGUCUUGAAUCGACGCCACCUCACCGCUUGCACCGGAUCGGUCGACUCCACCUCCUGGAUGGCCCAGAAUAUCAGGUCGAAGUCCAUCCCUCCAUCGUCGUUGGCAAAACGGCAGCGCUCCGCGAACGUGAUGUUGCGGAUAACAUCGACGCAGACCUCCGGCCACGCAUCCCGAAUCGGGAACCUGUCCCGCACCACCCGAAGUAUCUCCGUCCUCGCCGCCGGUGAGUGCGAGUCGAUUGGUGGCUGCAUCUCCACCGGUACCGGCGGCUCCACCAGAAUCAUCACCGGCUUCGCCACCAUCGACGAAGGUUGAAGACGACGAGUUGGCCUCCUCCAUCUCGAGUUCGUCAUCGGGAAGAUGAGAGGAGAGGCCGAGCGGUGGAUUCGAGUGAGCAGUGGUGGGUGGAUUUACUCUAGGAGGGUGGGUGAGGGGCUGGUGGUCAUUAAUGGCGGAUGCGGCCCGUGUGGGUGUCGCCUGCUCGGGUCCCGUGUCGUGACACGCCAUCACCGCGUUUCGUGGCUAGAUCACAUACAUCUAGAUAUAUUUUCCUUUUUUUCUUUUCUUAUUAUGUUUGAUUGAGUCAUUUAUAUGUGCAAUACUUAGGGCACAUCUAGACAUACCCUUUUAAAAAUAACAGUAUCGCAUUUUCCUUAUAGAAAACUAUCCUAUAUUAUGCAAAUCCUAUAAAGUUUGAGGCCUUAACUCAUCAAAGGGCACCGGCCUUGUGUGUUUGGUAGGGUGCAUGAGCCUAAAAUUUUCCUUCCCCACCCACUUUUGAAUGUUUGAUAAAGUGUAUGAAGGGUGCAUGAGUCCACACUAACUUAAUACAAAUAUACUAGAUGCAUGCAUGAAAAUGAGUGUUGAGAUGAACAUCCAUAAAAUGAAAACAACUAUGUUGGAAUGAGAAUGCAACCAAACACACUUAAGAAGGUCGACCGAGGGCCCAAAGAAUUUUCGAAGCCCACCCGUCCACCGCCAGCCCGCCACGUCCCAUCGCCUCACCUCACCUCACCUCACCUCACCGGUACCAUGAACCAUCCCGCGCUCACCCCGCGGGCCCCACCUGCCAUCCUCCGAUCCUGACCCGGGACGGGGCGCACGCGCACGCGCACACACGCCCUCCAAAUCCAAAUCCGAGCACCAGCCAGACCUGUCUCCAGCUUAUUUCGUUUUCCCCCUCCACCUCGGCGCGCUCCCUCUCUCGAGAUCCAGCACCUAGGGUUUGCCCCCGCCGCCGCCAUGGAUCCCGACGGGGACGGCUCCUUCCACAGGAAGGAGGCCAUCUCCGCCGUGCAGGACGUCGACCAGUACUACGGCGACGACGACGACUACGACGACCUCUACAACGACGUCAACGUCGGGGACGGCUUCCUCCACGCCUCCCAGCCCCCCGUCCAGCCCCAGCCGCCCGCGCUGCCUCCCAAGCAGCACCAGCUCCCCCCGCAGCAGGCGCCGCCGCCGCCGCAGCAGCAGCAGCAGGUUCUGCCUACCCCUUCGCUCCCGCUGCCCCCGCCGCCGCCUCCGAUGGGGCACCCGGAGAAGGCCCACAUCCCGGGUGUCGGCGCCGCCCCUCCCCCCAUCCAAGACCGCCCCAACCCGUCCCAUCUCCCGCCGCCGCCUCAGCCUCCCGUCGCCGCGGCGCCGCCGCCGCCUCCCCACCACCAGAUCCAGUCGGGAGGAGACGGCUUCCACCGGCAGGGAGGGGGCAACUUCGGGGGAGGACCGAUAGUUGUUGGCAACGGCGGGGGGGGGGACGGGCCCNNNNNNNNNNNNNNNNNNNNNNNNNNNNNNNNNNNNNNNNNNNNACGCUCUUCGUUGGGGACCUCCACUGGUGGACGACGGACGCGGAUCUGGAGGCGGAGCUGGUCAAGUACGGCCAUGUCAAGGAAGUCAGGUUCUUUGAUGAGAAGGCGAGCGGGAAAUCCAAGGGUUAUUGCCAGGUCGAUUUCUUCGACCCUGGCGCCGCUGCCGCCUGCAAGGAGGGCAUGAACGGACACCCCUUCAAUGGUCGCCCCUGUGUCGUGGCCUUUGCUUCGCCCAACACCGUACGCCGCAUGGGUGAAGCUCAGCUCAAGAACAACCAACCGAUGGGUCAGCAGAAUUCAGGUAUGCAGAAGAGUGGUGGUAGAGGUGGUGGUGGUCCACCUGGAGGCCCGCCUGGGCCUCAGGUUGGAGGAAACUAUGGUGGCAGGGGAGGCGGAGGAGCUGGUGGUGGUGGCGGCGGCGGAGGAGGAGGUGGAGCUGGUGGCGGAAAUUGGGGCAGAGGUCCAGGUGGUGGGAUGGGGGGUAGAGGUCCUGGUGGGAAUAUGAGGAAUCGGAUGGGUCCGGUGGGUGGCCGAGGGAUCAUGGGGAACGGAGGGAUGGUGGCUCCACCGCCACCAAUGAUGCAUCCCGGAGGGAUGAUGGGGCAGGGAUUUGAUCCCACUGGUUAUGGUGCAGCCAUGGGAAGGAUGGGUGGAGGGUUUGGAGGGUUCCCUGGUGGACCUGGGGGUGGACCGUUCCCAGGCUUGAUGCAGCCAUUCCCACCUGUGGUUGCUCCUCAUGUGAACCCAGCGUUCUUUGGGAGAGGAGGUGGUAUGGGUGCAGGGGGUGUUGGAAUGUGGCCAGACCCAAGCAUGGGUGGUGGUUGGGGAGGCGAGGAACAAUCAAGCUAUGGGGAUGAUGCAGCAUCUGAUCAGCACUAUGGAGAAGGUGCUAGCCAUGGUAAAGAGAGGCCACCGGAGCGGGAAUGGUCAGGUGCACCUGAAAGGAGGCGGGAGAGGGAAAAAGAUUUGCCCCCACCACCAGAAUUGCCAGAGAGAAGGCACCGUGAUGAAAGGGAUAUGGGUCGUGAGAGGGAAAGNNNNNNNNNNNNNNNNNNNNNNNNNGGAAAGAGAGAGGGACAGAGGAGGAGAUAGGGAAAGGGAGAGGGACAGAGGAGAUAGGGAAAGGGAGAGGGAUAGAGGAGAUAGGGACAGACACCGGGAUGACAGAGAUCGCCAUGGUGAUUACCACAGGCACAGGGAGCGCGAUUCUGAUCGUACUGAAGACUGGGAUAGAGGAAGGUCAUCUGGGAGACGAAGCAGGUCAAGGGAAGUUGAUCACUCAAAGCGGCGACGAAUGUCGCACGAGUGAUGUACCUGGAUGCCUAGCGUAGGGGCAGUGGCAAUCCGAGGUGGCAUAUUUUUUGCACAUGCCGGCUUUCAACCGUUCACUGCUUAUAACUGGUGGAUUUUGUGUCUCCAGGGAUCUGUUGUAGCAUUAACUGAGAUGUAAGUUCUGCUUUAUCUGUUCUUGUUUUUUGUUUUGAGUGUAAUCAUUCUUUCAUUUGGUUGUAUACCUGUACGUAGCUUCCUGUCGUUGGAUAUCACUGUGUAUAGCUGCAUAUACUUGUGUACCUACUGUAUACCAUCUGUAUAACGCUCUGGUUGCUGUUUUGUAUAGAUUUUUCAUUAAUUCUUUUGUAGCUUUAAGGCAUUGCUCAAGCUGGGAACUCAAGAAUGUAACUUAGAUUUGUAACUUGUAAAUAAGCUGUUGUAGAAAACUUCCUUGUAAUCCAAUUAUUGUUUAUAUGAUGUAUUCUCAAAAAGGAACUGUAAGGGCUCUCACCCUGUAUUCUUCAAAUAUGAGCAGUGGUGUUUAUGCUCCAGCAUUUUGAUAAGUACUCAAGAGUAGGCCUUGAAGUUAAUAUAAGUUGUAAAAAGACCUAAUUGUAUUGUUUUGGAGCUUGUAAUUGCUUAUGUCAUUCCUGUUCCGCAAUGGGUGCUCUGACAAUUAGUCGAAAGGUCCUUUGCUGGAAACAAUGUUCUUGCACACUGAGAUAAUUGAACACAUACUUGUUGAAGUGCGUGACUUGUACCAAAGUUUCACAUUUACAUUAAUCAAGUGCAAAGUCUGGAGGUGACAAGUUGCACUGCAUAACUUAUUUCCAAAGCUUGAAGUCUAGUGCUCCAGCGAUCUAUGGUGUAGAAACAUAAUAGCCAGCAUAAGUGAGACCAUAGAGUUGGGGAAGUUAUAUCUUAUAUGCCAGGACCUAUCUGUACUUGAUAAAAGCUUAAGUUUUACUGAAUAUAGAGAAUGUUUCACCCUUUCACAUGUGUAAGAACUAUUGUCCCGUGUUGGAUGUUCAUGUAACAUGUUAUAUUCUGGUAAGUAGACUUAGCACUCACUAAAAUGAGUAUCAUGCUAUGACUGCGGCUGAACCAAACUAAGAUUCCUUCUCAGUUGAAUAUAAUUAUCAUUUGCAAAUGCAUUCGUGUAUACUAGAAAACAACAUAUUUUUGUUUUCUGCUAUCACCAAUUUGCAAAUGCAUUCGUGUAUACUUGACUGCUAUCACCAAUAGAUGUCAAGUAUCUAGUGAGGAACAUAUAUGCUUGUCUUGAAAACGUAAGCACUGCAUAUUUUCUUUUCUUCAUGCAUCCUGUUAUGUGUCCAUUGACGGAGAAUAUCAAAUCAAACAUGAUUUUAUUUUGACGACAUUGGUGACUGCUAGUCCUUUCUAUUCAGUGAUCUAUACAUAUAUUGAUCUCCUUAUUCAGGAAUUGUUUUAGGCUAUAUGAACUGUUAUGCAUUCUUUCUGUACUUAAACAAUUGUCAGAGUUUUUUUAUGCCGGUAUCUUUCCUUUUGGCUGUAGUGAGCUGCUAUAUGGUUUCCAUCCAUUUAGACCAUUACAUUGUGGCCCGAUCAUUCCUAGUUUUGUGAUUUUUGAACCGAGUCUGUAACUUUCACUGCAUUAUCAUGCUACCGGUGGAGUUGCCCCUGCUACUUUUUAUUAGCCUGCUUAUUUCAUUGCCUAUUUGGCUGUGAAGGAGAAACAUUUUACAGCAAAUACUAUUAUCCUGUAUUGAGGUUGAAUGUAUUAGUUUAAUCAUUUUAUGUUUAGGUACUUUGUGUUGAGAUGAAAUGUUUCUAGAUAUAAUUUUACAUUCUUCUUUUUGAAAUAUGUCCAUAGUUUUCUUUACAACAAAUCCAUAGAUAGUCUGAAAAUAUUUUUUGUUGGCUACAAACUUUUUGUCGGCAUCUAGUACCUGCUGCAAGUCUGUAGCUUAUUUCUACUUAGCUCUAUUUGCCAUUAAUAACUUAGUUUAGCAAAUUUACUUGUAACACCAUUAAGUUCACAGCCUUCAUGUAUUAGUUUUCAUAUUCAAAUGCUGGUAACUGUGGUAUAAAAGAUAGUACCACUUCUGUUAAACUGCCAAAACGUCUUAUAUUAAUGAACAGAGGGUGUAGUUUUUAAGGUUAUGCUGUAUUGUAUGUUCUGGUGCUAUUAUUAGUUUUUACCUAUUUGUAUUCCUUUGCUGCUGGCCUGCUACCACGUACUGACUUCUUGUACUCUCUUUCUCUCUUGCAGCCAUACAAGCAGUUCGAAUAAGUGUGAAGCCAUGAUUCUAGCCUCCUCGGAUACAAGAUGUUGCUGCUGCCUGCCUACGCCUACCUGCCCCUACCUUUAAUAUACUUGCGAGUGGCAUAAUAUUGCCGGAAAGACCUGUCAAACGUGUUGUGAUUCCCCUGAAUACUCCUUUUGUUUACUUAUUAUGCGAGGAUAGAGCACUCCGAGAGUGCGAUAAUGUACUGUCUACUAUGUAUUAGGAUGAUACUGGUCUGUAACCUUGUAUUAUUACUUUUGCCUUUUUUUUUAAAAUUAUCUCUGCUGCUGGUGGACAAGUGAUCCAACAUCCAACAUUCAUGUGGCUCGUCCUUGCCUGGAGGUAGCUGCAGUGUUUGUUUUUUCUAGGUUUGUGGCUGUGUUGUACACCUGUAUGCCGCCUGUGAAUGAUUAACUGACCUAGAUGUUGGUUGUUGUGCUUGUGGCUGUAGAUUUGGAGCAGCCUAUAACGCUAGGAAUGUACACAUGCAGUUUCUAAAUGUUGCUAGGUUUGUGUUUCUUUUGGUAGAUGUUGUACAGUACGUUUUGUGAAUACGGCAGCACAAUGUUCUUACCUCUAGAAUGCACAUGUUGAACUACUGUGUGUGCUAUCUGUGACCUAUGUGUGUUUGUAUGACCUGGCAAAAUAAGAGCCAAAAUACAUUUAGGGCUUGGUUGGUAUGGCUGUUUUUCGACCAGUACGCAGAGGUUGCCAGGACUCUGCUCUGUGAGCUAUUACCCUCCGAAAUCAAACUCCAUGCACAUGCCAAAGCAAUGGCCUGAAAGUUUUGAGAACAUACAAUACAACAAUAACAAAGCCUUUCAGUCCCAAACAAGUUGGGUAAGCUAGAGUUAAAACUCAUAAGAUGUCGAAACCAAGUCAUGGUUCUACCACGGGUAUAACUAACUUUGAG